This 61131-nucleotide long non-coding RNA is filed under the name Triticum aestivum (bread wheat). RNAcentral's name for it is "long non-coding RNA (TAES_LNC016062)". The record is from RNAcentral. Lineage: Eukaryota; Viridiplantae; Streptophyta; Magnoliopsida; Poales; Poaceae.
UCCCUCUGUUGGGUUUUGGGAUCGUCACUGGAUUUUAGGCAGCCGAUGUGAAAGCUUGUCCUAAGAUGACCUCUGAUGAUCACAUUGCCACUGCUCUUACCAAACCAAUCUCUCUAGGUUUGAUGAUCUUCUGCUCCUCCUCUUCAUCAAUCGUCAGUUCUUUAGACAAGUGAAUGACCACCGACGUUAUCGCCGGAAAGAAGAAAGCAUCAGAGACAAGGAGAGACACAAGGCGCUGAUCGGUAUCGGAAUAAAGAUCUUUUGUCAUUCAUGAAAACCCUACAAUUGUCAGUGUAGGAAGUAUGAACUCGGUGUUCUCUAGCCAAUGCAUGAUCCUGAUCCAUGUUUGAUUGUUCAUUGUAGAGCUCUGCUACAGCUUUGUGCCCAAGUUAUCCGGGGAUUGACCUUUUUAGCGUAGACAAAGGUCCUGGCACCGCUCGCAGACUCUGAUUUUUCACCCAUUGUCGAAAUUCACAUUUUAUUUAUUCCUAUAUAUACAUAUGAUUCAGUUGUAAUCAUGACUUUUGUACAGCUAUGGUAUAACUUGAGCCUUUCUGUAACAUCUUUUCUACUCCCUCCGUUCCUAAAUAAUUGUCUUUCUAGAGAUUUCAACAAGUGACUACAUACGGAGCAAAAUGAGUGAAUCUAUACUCUAAAACAUGUCUACAUACAUCCGUAUGUUGUAGUCCAUUUGAGAUGGCUAGAAAGACAAUUAUUUGGGAACGAAGAAAGUAAUUUACAUCUUGUCACCGCGUUACUGUUAAUAUAUGCCUCUUUUUUAGAAAAGGAGGAUGAGCCCCGGCCUCUGCAUCUGGUUGAUGCAUGCGGACACUUUAUUAAUUAUUUUCACAAGACCUUAUAAAGUCAUACGACAGUAAGACUGAAGCCACCGUCUAAGCAACAACUGUCGCUACACCUAUCCAAUUGAUGAAGGGGCGUUGAUAGUCUAAGCAACAACUGUCGCUACACCUAUCCAAUUGAUGAAGGGGCGCUGAUAGUCUGAGCCUAAUACCAAACAGACAUCGCAGACAAACCUAAACAUCUAAGACCUGAGGUCCCAACCAGGACGCCUGCCUGGUAUGGGGCACCUACCAGUCCGGCGCACUCCUCAACCAGGACGCCUGCCGGGUAUGGGGCCGCCGCAGCCACCUGUCAUGAGUCCAUCUUCAGAGUUGUACUGUUGCAUCUAUCGUGCCAGGUCUCUCAGCCAUCGACGCCACCACGACGCCGGACAGCGUCGUCCUCCUGCGUGAGUCCAUCCUCCCACAUCGAACUCCGAAUCUGCACUGCGCCACGCCGUCCAGAUCCGUCGCCAUUAAUGUAUGGAUGAAGCACCGCUCCACCAAAGAAGCCGUUCGCUGGUCCCGCGAAGCCGAGUGCACCUCCAAGAAUGCCGCCCCCAAGGGGGUUACGACACAUGAUUGCCGCCAACAUCCGAUCAGCUGAUCUAGGGUUUUCCCCGGAGGUAUUGAGUGGAGUUGGGAGCUUCACCUCGAUGAUGCCUUCAUGAAGGAAACGAUGAUAAGGGCAUCGUCAUCACCGGCUCCGGCCACCGACUGAAGAUCUGGUUUUCACCCGGAUCCGUCCCAAGAAAUCCACCCAACAACAUGUGCACCGUCUCGACCGCCUUCAAAGCCCCAGAUCCAGCCGCCUAGAUCCGGCGACCAACCGCAGCAACAGUUCCACCGUGGGAUCCCUAGCACACCGGCCACUUCCUGAGUGUGCCACCACUGGAGCCUAGGAGGAGGGCUCCCACCCCGCCUCGCCAACCCGCGAGAGCCGCCGAGAAGGAUCCCGCGGGCUCGUCACCGUCUCUGAUCCGAACCAAUCCAUAGCAGAUCGUCAUCACAGAUCCGCCUUGGACAGGGACUGCACCACGCCAUGCCGCUGCGGGAAGCCCGAGCUUCACCGGCCUCCACCCUACAGGGCCGCCGCCCCGGGAUCCAGACAGAACUUUGCCGCUGCCACCGGCCAAGUUCCUCCGCUGCCGACUGGCCAAGCCGCCGGUCACUUCAUGACCAUGCGAGCACAGCCAGCCGGCCGACCAACUAUGACGAAGAAGAAGGCCACCACCACCAAGCCUAGGGGCGGCGCCCCAGACAUCCUCGUGUUGCAGAUCAAGUCCAGGAGCAGUGCCCCGCCGACGGCGAUUGAGAUCGGUAGCACAACGAAUUAGCCUGACAUGAGUCAAGGCCAGAUCCACCUUUGAUGGUGCCGUGCCCCCCCGCCCCCCGCACCACCUCCAUGUCGUCGCCGAUCUGCGCCACCGCUGUCGGUCUGGCCGGAGAGGAGCGCCGCCUCCCAACCAGAUCGAGAUCUGAGGAGAAACCGCCACCGCCGCCACGCCACAAGGGCUUUGCCCUGUGACACCCCGGGCGACGGCAGCGGAGGGGAGCGGAGGAGGGGAGGGGCGAGGUUGUAGGAAGAGGGCGGGGGCUCCCCGAUGCGGGGCGGCGCCGCCGCACGGGGGAGGGACGGGAGGGACCUUAAUAUAUGGCUAAGAAACUAAAAGCACAAAUUAGGAAAAUGCAGCAAAGCAUUUCCUUUCCUCCCCCAUCGACGGCUAUGGCAAACAAAUCCCCUCCAAGGUUUGCUGGCGAGCCUGACGAUUCACUUACCCUUUGCCUACCGCUCUGACAUCUGGUGGCGGGGAGGAGAAUCAUGGUACCUCUGCUUGUAGCCUACUAGUUUAGGUUAGGUUUUUAUAAUCCACACCUGGUGCUUCUUCUUUGAGUUUGUCUUCCGAGUUUCGAACCUCCUUGAAUUUGUCCGUCCGGACAUAGUCGACGAAGCAACCGCGUAGAUUCUUGCUAUCUCCUAGGGGCUGCUUGGUUUUAGCCAAAGGCAACCCUGCCAAACAUGGACACGGUCGCCCCAGCUUCGCCAGCAAAUUCGCGUGAAUGUGAACUGUAUUGGUAGCGGUGGGCUGGGCGGACCAAUUUUUUGGCGACCAUCCAAACACCAUCCAAGGCCUGGUCAACGACCAAUUUAUUGGUGGGGCAGUUGAGGGCAUCAAACCAAACAGCCCCCUAGAGACGGUGAGGUUAGGAUUUUCCGUCGUGUGUGUGCGAUGGCAGUGUCUGCCUCAAAUCUGUUGAAGGGUUCAAUGGCGAUGACUGUGGCUCAAGAGCGCUGGUCCUUAGGGGCAUGUGCACGAAGAUUCCCCGACCUUCAUCAACAAGGUUAAUAAGUUGGCUGUGGUAGGGAAGCGGCGACAACAACGUGUCGACAGCUCAUUGGCGGCGGUAGUGGUCAUACGGCGGUCCACUGACUUUGAUGUAAUUUUUAUUAUGUUUGAGGUUCUUUUUUCUCCUAGUAAACUUUAAUAACAAAUUCAUAUCUUUUCACAAAAAAAAUGUCUAGGAAGCUAUUACCAAAAAAGGCUUUUGCCCCGCUUUAUAUAUAAAGCAAACCGCCCAAGCCAAACAUCCCACAUAGGUCCACAACACACACACACACACACACACGCACAAGGAGUCCACAAGAACACAAAGUACAAUCUGGAUUAAUGCUGAGGGCACAGCUCAACAAGCCCUGAAAACAGAAAAAUAAUAUACAAGGCACAGAUGUGCAAGAUCCCAAGGAGUGGUACACAUCCAGCGUCUCAGGGAGGAGGCGUAAGCCUAGUCGGGCUCCGGGGGCGGGGGCGAGAGAGGAGGCACCACUCGGAAGGCCAUCGCGCGGAGGUCGGCGAGGAGGGUGUUGAUGGCGUCCCGGUCCUGGGGGCGGCUAAGCGGUCACCAACGCUUCAAGUAACCACACAAUUUGAAGAUUGCGUCAGUCGCACAUCGAAGAGGUGUUCUUUGGAUGACAAGCUUGUUGCGGAUAGUCCAGAGCGUCCAGGAAAGGACCCCAACACAGAGCCACCUAAUGUGGCGGUGACGAGGGCGGAGUCUUGGAUUUCCGCCAGCAGGUCCUAGAAGUUUGUGUUGCACCAACGACCACCGACCGUAUCGUGGAAACAGGCCCACAGGAAUUGGGCCGUAACACAAGAGAAGAAGAUGUGGUUGGCGUCCUCUACCGUGCCUCAUAAGAGACACAUCCCAUUCCCCCGGGCGAUUGCGCUUCAGGACCUCAACCCCAGACGGUAGGUGGACCCGGAUCCACUACCACAAGAAGAUCCGGAUCUUCAACGGCAAGUGGAUGUCCCAAAUCAAGCUAAACGGCUCAGGAACCGGAGAGGGAGCAAUGGCCGAAUAAAGGGAGAGAACCGCCCCGAAGGCUCCAGACGCCACGACACGGAGUCAGGCGCGCCAUCCAGUUCCAAAGGCUGGAGGGCGAUGGCUCGGAGAAGGGCGUCCCAAGCGGCCACCUCGAGAGGGCCGAAGGGGCGUCGGAAGGCGAGCCACCCUAAGUCAAUAAGGGACGACUCAACGGAGACCCGAGGGUCGACCGCGAUGGAGAAUAGCUCCGGGAAAUGGGCGGCCAGGGGGGAGUCCCCCAGCUACCGUCAAACUAGAACAGCGUCGCGGACCCAGAACCCACCUCAAUGGAGGUACCGAUUCGGACAACAGGAAGGAGCUGAAUCACAACCUGCCAAAAUUGGGAUCCACCAGAGCACUAACAGAAGGCAAGAGGCUGUCCAUGGAGGUAUUUAUUGCGGAUGAGGGUUAGCCAAAGCCAGCGCAUCAGGAGAGCGAUGUUCAUCCGCCUGGAGGACAGGAUCCCAAGGCCCCCCUGGUAUUUGGGUUUCCAAAUGUCGGGCCAGCUAACCAUAUGAUAUUUCUUCUUAUCCCCCUCGUGAGCCCAGAAGAACCGGGACUGGUAUUUGGCGAUCUCCUGAUGAAGGGUCUCGUGGAGGCUAUAGAAGCUCAUGAGGAACCAUAGGAGGCUGGACAGCGAGGAGUUGAUGAGUAUCGUCCUCGCAGCUUUCGAAAGCCACCUGCCCCGCCACGGUUCCACCCGGUGCUGCAUCCUAGUGACCGCAGGGCGGAGGUCGGCCACGGUCAGUCUAGAGUCACUGAUGGGGAUCCCGAGGUAGGUGGUCGGGAAGGAACCCAUCCGGCAGUUCAAACGGCCGACAAUAGCCUGGGCCUCCUCAGGGGGUAGCCCAGAAUCAUCACUUCGCUCUCAUCGAAGUUGAUCGUGAGCCCCGACAUUUGUUGAAAGCAGAGGAGGAACUUUAGGUUGGCAAUGUCGGAGGUGGAGCCCUCAACCAUAAUGAUGGUGUCAUCUGCGUAUUAUAUGAGGGAGACCCCUCCCCCUCCCACUAGAUGAGGAACUACACCAUGGAUAUGGCCGACAGAUUUGGCCUUAUCAAGGAUGGAGGCAAGGGCAUGGACCACCAUGUUGAACAAAAACGGGGAGAACAGGUGACGCACCCCACACAGGGUUGGGAAGUAGGGUCCAAUCUCGCUGUUGAUGGUGAUCACGGUCGGGCCGCAGGUGACCAGUUGCAUGACCCUGGUCACCCAACGGUCUUCGAAGCCCUUGUGAAGCAAAACUUCCCCAAGGAAGGACCAAGGGACAAUUUCGUAGGCUUUGUGGAAGUCGAGCUUCAGAAAAACUGCCCAUUGGUGUUUGGAGCGAACCUAGUGAAGCACCUCAUGGAACACCAGAACCCCAAGAAGCUAUUGUUGGGAAUGGAAGCAGACAUAUGCACAUAAAAAUGUCUGUGAAGGCACCUGCCUCUUUUCUCAAGCGCUUUGUUGGCGUUCUUUUAUACGUGUCAAACACAUCUAUAUUUUUACUUGUUUCAUGUUGUAUUUAUAUUCUUAUUGCCUCACUUUGGCAUUUUUUAAAUUAUAUUGGACUAACCUGUUAAUCCAUUGCCCAAUGCCACUUUAUGUUUCUUGCAUAUUUUUGGAAUCUGCAUGAAUAAAAUUUUCCUGAGCCCAAGAAAAACAAAUAAAAAUAUGACGCAAAGUUUCACGCCAAAAGAGCCACUGGGCAUAAGCCCACCUAGAGGGGCCCACCUAGACUUCACGUGGCCCCAACAUGUGUCGUAGUGUUGACGCAUGACGUGCGGGCAUGGGACUCCUGGACAUUAUCUCCAUCGCUCGCAUAGCCCUAUCUCUAUAUAUGCUAAACAAUACGUGACAUAUUUCUAUCCAAAGUUUUCCGCUCCCGCAACCACCCGAUGUUGGGAAACGUAGCAUGUAAUUUUAAAAAAAAUUCUACGCUCACGCAAGAUCUAUCUAGGAGAUGCAUAGAAACGAGAGGGGGAGAGUGUGUCCACGUAUUCUCGUAGACCGAAAGCGGAAGCAUUAACUUAACGCAGUUGAUGUAGUCGAACGUCUUCUCGAAUCAACUGAUCAAGUACCGAACGUACGACACCUGUGAGUUCUGCACACGUUCAGCUCGCUGACAUCCCUCGAACUCUUGAUCCAGUAGAGGUAUGGAGGAGAUGAGUUCCGUCAGCACGACGGUGUGGUGACGGUGAUGAUGAUGUGAUCCGUGCAGGGCUUCGCCUAAGCACUACGACAAUAUGACCGGAGGAGUAAACAGUUGAGGAGGCACCGCACACGGCUAAGAAACAACUGUUGUGCUUUGGGGUGCCCCAUUGCCCCCGUAUAGAAAGGAGGGAGAGGGUAAAGGGCCGGCCUAGGGCACGCCCAAGUGGGGGGAGUCCAACUAGGACUCCUAGUCCUAGUCAGCCCCCCUUCCUUUCCAACGGAGGGGGAAAGAGGGAAGUGGAGGGAGAGGGCGAGGGAGAAGGAAAGGGGGGCCGCGCCCCUCCCCCUUGUCCAAUUCGGACUCCACAUGGGGGGGGGGGGCACCACCUCCUGCGACCUUCCUCUCCUCUCCACUAUGGCCCAUGAGGCCCAUUACUUCCCCGAUGGGUUCUGGUAACCCCUCGGUACUCCAAAAAAUACCCGACCCACUCCGGAACCAUUCCGGUGUCUGAAUUUAACCUUCCAAUAUAUCAAUCUUUACCUCUCGACCAUUUUGAGACUCCUCAUCAUGUCCGUAAUCUCAUCCGGGACUCCGAGCUACCUUCGGUCACCAAAACACAUAACUCAUAUAAUACAUAUCAUCAUCGAACGUUAAGCGUGCAGACCCUACGGGUUAGAGAACUAUGUAGACAUGACCGAGACACCUCUCCGGUCAAUAACCAAUAGCGAAACCUGGAUGCUCAUAUUGAUUCCCACAUAUUCUACAAAGAUCUUUAUCGGUCGAACCGCAAUGUCAACAUACGUUAUUCCCUUUGUCAUCGGUAUGUUACUUGCCCGAGAUUCGAUCAUCGGUAUCUUCAUACCUAGUUCAAUCUCAUUACCAGCAAGUCUCUUUUCUCGUUCCGUAGUGCAUCAUCCCGAAAGUAACUCAUUAAUCACAUUGCUUGCAAGGCUUCAUAUGAUGUGCAUUACCGGGAGGGCCCAAAGAUACCUCUUCGAUACUUAGAGUGACAAAUCCUAAUCUUGAUCUAUGCCAACCCAACAAACACCUUCGGAGAUACCUGUAGAGCAUCUUUAUAAUCAUCUAGUUACGUUGUAAUGUUUGAUAGCACAUAAGGCAUUCCUCUGGUGUCCGGGAGUUGCAUAAUCCCAUAGUCGGAGGAAUAUAUAUUUGACAUGAAGAAAGCAGUAGCAAUAAAACUGAACGAUCAUUAUGCUAAGUUAAUGGAUGUCUUGUCCAUCACAUCAUUCCAGUAAUUAUGUGAUCCCGUUUAUCAAAUGACAACUCAUGUUCAUGGCUAGGAAACUUAACCAUCUUUGAUCAAUGAGCUAGUCUAUUAGAGGUACACUAGGGACAUAGUGUUUUGUCUAUGUAUUCACACAUGUAUCAAGUUUCCGGUUAAUACAAUUCUAGCAUGAAUAAUAAACAUUUAUCAUGAAUAAGGAAAUAUAAAAUAGCAACUUUAUUAUUGCCCCUAGGGCAUAUUUCCUUCACCCGAUCCAAGGCGGUCUUCANNNNNNNNNNNNNNNNNNNNNNNNNNNNNNNNNNNNNNNNNNNNNNNNNNNNNNNNNNNNNNNNNNNNNNNNNNNNNNNNNNNNNNNNNNNNNNNNNNNNNNNNNNNNNNNNNNNNNNNNNNNNNNNNNNNNNNNNNNNNNNNNNNNNNNNNNNNNNNNNNNNNNNNNNNNNNNNNNNNNNNNNNNNNNNNNNNNNNNNNNNNNNNNNNNNNNNNNNNNNNNNNNNNNNNNNNNNNNNNNNNNNNNNNUGAUGAUGUGGGCGUAGUCCACCCUAGGUCUGAGGUUUUGUACUAGUAGUUAUGUGUUAUAUCUCUCCCCCUUGAUCAUGUGAGUUUCCAUUGAUGAUUAUGAUUGUGGGUGUUGUUAAUGGAGUUGAAUCAUGUGAUGUAUCACGGCAUAUUAUCCUUGUGGUGAAAUGGAUUUUGCUCUUGCUAUGAGUUUCUUUGUAUGUUAGAUUGAAUCUUUUCGGAACUAGUGAGAUCAUGGUGCAUUUCUAGUACGAUUUUCAGAGAUGCCCGUAGUGACAUUUAUGUGAUUCUGUGGACAACAGAUUAGAACAAUAAAGAUCAUGAGGUGAUUGUUUAGUAUAAUUUCUGGGUUGCCUGAGGUGACAUUAGGUCUAGCCAUACCUAAUUUAUCUCAUCCUACUUUGAUCCGGCAAAAGAGGAACUUUGAAAUGAUUCUUUACCGUACAUUUUCAUGAUAUAUCAUGUGUUUCUACUAUAUUAAUUAUGUAGAGAAUUGACAUUAGUGAAAUUAUGAACCCUAGGCCUUGUUUGCAGGCAUUACAACUCUGCUUUAUUCACUUUUACUACUUGAUACCUUGCUGCCCUUAUUUAUUCUGAAAAUACAAAAAUAUUACCAUCCAAAUACCAAUCUACCAUCCAAAUUAUUAAUCUCUUCGACGACUUUUGGGUUUUCGGAUAACAGGCCCCAGGCCAAUUAAUCGAUAGAUUCUUGAUUAAUUGCUUGUUAGAGCAAUAAAUCUACCCAAAUGAUAAAUAGCACUGAUAAGGCAUAAUCUUAGCAGUCACCCACCGAUAAGCAAUAAAUGGGCCGGUAAAUCACUGAAUCAGCCGAUUUUUUAAACAUUGCUCUUCGCUAAAGUAGUGCGCCUAUAGAAUUAACAGUUCUAUUGGGUGUGUUCGGGACACAGGGGACUACUUAUAUUUGAUUGCAGGGUUGUUUGGAAAAGACUACUUUCAACUACACCUCUCACAGGUUGAUAAACCUUAGGUUAUCGACUUGAAGCACACUGCCGUUGUCUUACAAUCCUCUACGUUUAGAGGCCCAACAUAGUCUACAAGAAUAGAAGUGCGUAGUAGACAUCAAGUUGUUUCUGGUGCCAUUGCCGGGAGGUGGUGCUUGAGGGUAUCUUCUUUAGAUCUUGCAAUUGAAUGUUUUAGUCUCAUGUUCACUUGUUUGGUUUAUAAAAGAAACAACAACAAAACUAGUGAACACUUGUUUACCUUCAUAAAAUUUAUUUUGAGAACAUGGACUCAUAAUUUGGUCAUGAAGUAUUCAAAGAAGAAUUUAAAAAGGUUAAUGAUGUAUGUUCUUUCAAUGCUAAUCAUGAUUACAAUAGACAUGGUAUUAUGAAUUCCAUUUUUGCUAAUGAUAUGUAAAGUUGUAAGCUUGGGGAUGAAAGGUUUGAUAAAUAUGAAAUUUUUAGACCACUUGAUCCUAGCUUGGAGAAUAAUUUUUACAUGAUAGUAUUCCUCCUAGUUAUGGUGAUUACAAAUGUUGAUGAAAGUGGGUUCGGAGAGGUCAUGACUUUAGAUAGUAAUGAUCCCUUUAUUUGGAGAGUGCUAAAUUUGAUUAUGCUAUUAUUGGAAGUGGGUUUGGAGAGGUCAUGACCUCAGGUACGGUUUAUCCCACAAUUUUGGAGGAUGUUUCAAUUGACUAUGAUGAGAACAAAGUUACUAGCUAUGAUGUCACUUGCUAUAAAUAAUAAAGAUAAGCAUCAUUAUAAAACUUGUCAUAGUGUGAGUUUAAUGUGCAAUUGGGUCAUGCCAAUUAAGCUUCACAUGAUGGCUAUUUUGUUGAAUUUUCUCCCACUACAAUUAAUAAGAAAGAAUUUGCUUAUGUGGACAGUAAUAGUAAUUUUGUGCAUUAGAUCCUGAAAAGUAUGCUUUAUGUGAUAACCAUAUUAUUGAGCUUGUUCAUGAAGCGGCUGAAAAUUAUUAUGAGAGAGGGAGAUAGCUAGGGCUAUAGAUAUCUUAACAAUAUUAAGUUUCCUCUCUUUAUGAUGAAAGCUUUAAAGUUGCACUUGUUUUCUCUUCCUAUGCUAGUUACUUCUUGCUUCAGUGAAUCAUUUGCUUACAAGAUUCCAAUGCAUAUGAAGUGGGUUAGCCUUAAUUUUCUUAUUACUAUAUGGUUUUUGAUGCUCUCCAUUGUGUUUCAAAAUAAUUAUGAUUCAUGUUUUCUUGAGAGCAUCAUAAAAAUGUCGAUACUAGCUAAAAGAUAGUGAAGAAAGCGCUUGAGGUGCAGUGAGAUGCCAGAAGGACAUGAAGUUCUUCAUAGAUCUCUAGAGGACUUCCUGACUAGGACGGUAUGUUUUAUAGUUCAACACGUUUUGACUGAGUUUCUUAUAUAUGGUCCUGCCCAAAAAUUCUAACUAUUGAUUUCUUUUAAUUUUGCUCAGGUCAUCCCUUGCGGGGCAAGGUGUGAUUUCUGAGAGGUUUCACGUUCUGCUUGAUGCGACCAUCAUAUCCCAUUGCACCUCAUGAAGAUGCAGACAACCCAAAACUUCACUUCUCUUAUCACUAACGAGCCACACCGCACCUAUCUUGGGUGCCCUGGUUGGAGAGACCUUGCAGAUGCCUACGGGAUGGAAGCUGGCGAGAGGGCCAUCUUCUACCUCGAGUAUGAUCGUGAGGAGAUCAUGGUCUACUAUAGGCUUGCUAGCAGCUCUGAUUCACUUACUCCAAACUACGACCCCGAGUCCAACCGUCGAAGAGUCUAGUUAGUAGGCAUGCAUGGCACCCACUCGUAUUAUAUUAUUAUCACCAAUCCAGUUGAACGUGUGUUACAUAUGCAUGCCAUGUUAAUUAGUGCUUUGUUGAACUUAAAAUGUUGUCUUUUGCCUCUAUUUAGUACUAUCAAGCUUGAUUUUAUUGAUGUUGUCAAACUUGAUUAUGUUGUCAUUUGGGUGGGAAAGCACUUUUAUACAACUUUAAUUUUAACCUAAGAAUCAUAUUGAUGGCAUGGCGCCAACAUGGUAUGUCACUUGUGAUGAAUAUUAUUGAUGGCGUGUGACACAUGGCACACCAUCGUCACUAAUGUUAGUGGUGGCGUUGGUUUCCAACGCCCCCACUAUUUUCUAGAGUCACGCCAUAUUGGUGGCGUUGGGUGCCAACGCCACCAAGGCGGUUUUUUGCAAUGGCACCACUAGCCUUUUCUGCACUGGUGACUCCAUCGCCAUGUUCGAGCUGUUACUGAGGGAGGGAAAGUACAAGAUGGUUGGCUUCGGCCUCGAGUACACCCGCAUCAUGUCGGCUAUGAUUAGAAGUCCGACGUCGCCCAGUUAUGCGUGCACCAUCAGGUCAUCGUCUACCGGUUACUGCAGGGUCACGAGACCUUGUGAAAAUUUCACCGAGUUAGUUAACAACCAUGAUUAUGAAUUCACUAUGAGCCUAUGAUGGACACCACCAACGAUGCAAAGGUGCUUGGUAAUUCGUCCAUCUCGUGCCCGGAUCUCGUUGACAUUCAGAAACAAUACAAGAUCAACGAUAAUGGGAAGUGACAGAAUGCUCUGGCUAACAUGUGUGGACUCGAAGAGGAGAAGAAAUUUGUGUGGAGGCCACAUGUUGCAGUUUUUCUUUUUCCACUAGUUUAUCUCUCUAACAGUAGGGACCAACCGCCAUGGGCAAGGGGAGCGAGCAGAGCACACAACGAAAUCCAAGAGAGCUAACAAGCGGCAUGCGGGGUUGGACUAGCGAGAGACUGUCAUUUUCUCUCGCCGACCCUCGUGGUUCACAUCCCACCCUGCCACUUAGCAGCGAGGCCUCGGCUGGCAAAUGCCGCUCGAAGUGCUCCCAACCUUCUAUUCCUAGGAGCAUAGAGUUUUUAAGGAUUUUGCAUUGUUCUUUUUGUUAAUAUAUGUGUUUUAUGCCUCAAAUUAUCUUAUGUUGCCAUGAAUUUGUACAUUUUUCUACAUGGACCAUUAGGCCUCGAGAGAUUGGUCUAAUGAUGUGUGUAGGUGUAGAAGGUUUAAUUUUUUGUGCUGAAAAUUAAGAGCGACCCGGAUAGAGAAGGAAAAUUUGAAUACAUAAGCUUACAAGGCCUAACGGGCCUCGCGGUCCGUUACCCUUGCCCUCGUCAUGUGUUGGCCGCGAAUUGCUCUCCCUCCUUCAUCACGCAUGUACUCACGCAACAUUGAAGCGCCACCAUCAUGGCGUCAGCAAGCGCUUGGUCAUACCACCAUCGUACAUGGCACAACAGGCAAGCAACACCCUGUUGUUCACAAGGCCAUAACGCCACCAACACUAGUGCGCCAGUCACCAUCGUCCUGGAAGGUGACAACCAGGCGCCACCGUUCCACCGGAAUGGGUGAUGGUCCAUGCAAACUCUUUGGGUGCGGGAUCCACCGCAACCUCAGGAAGACAGGUAGGAAGAGAUGAGCUUGCUCUGGGACAAGGAGAGGCCCUCCUCACUAUGUGGGGGACAUGAUGAGUGUAUGAGGGGCUUAGAUGGAGAGGUAGGCGUUGAAAGAUUGAUGGGAGCGGCUAGGUUUUCUCCUUAACCUAUUUUCGGUGACUGCAUUCAGUUUCAUUUCAUAACAGAUAAACACCAAGAUUAAAGUAGGUAAAACAAAAAUCAUCUGUAAUACCUGUACAUAAAAAACUUUGAGCCAUUUCAUUUCUUUUGCUGUUAUGAUCGUACGGACAGAUAGAUAGGCAGACAGCUACAACAGAAAUUCAAGAAAAAUCACCAACGGCUCAAGGAAAGCUCCUAAUUCUAACUCUCAAAAUUUGAAGAGACACCACCAUCCACUGUGCAUGCUCAGCUGAUGUGUUGAAGCUCUCUCUGACGAAAGCCAGCCUAUGAGCUGCACAUGUCGAGCAGGAAUGCCCUGCAUUGCACCAGGCGCCUGAAGAGCAGCUCCAGCCCCUCCUCCAGCUGCUGGAUCGUGUCUCCCAGCGCUCUGAGCUCCCUCUGCGCCCGCGACGCCGUGGAAUCUUUGCGCAGAGCCAGCGACGGCAGGACGGUUGUGGUGGUCUUCUCGGCGUCCACGCACGCCACCCGUGUCGUCUUCCUGAACGCCCUCGCCGCGAUGCACGUGGACCACCUGCUCGGCCCGGCGGACACGGCCACCCGUCGCGACAGCGCCAUCACGACGCGCUCCAGCACCGCCACGGUGACCCGCCGCGCCUCCUCCAGCGACCGCCCACCGCUCUCUCCCGCUUGACACGGGCUAAUGCGCCGGUGCCGCUGCUGCCUCUUCACGUCGGCGCGCGCCUUCCUGGCAAGGAGCGUGUACGCGCGAGCGGCGAUCUCGGCGGUGGCGGCGUCCCCGCGACGGAGGGCGACCUCGAGGUCGAACGCGGAGGCGCGCAUGGAGCGCAGCCCGUCCCGCGCCGCGGCGCACGCGUCGAGCAGCCCGACGGACGCCUCUAGCUCCUCCUCCACCUGCUCGGCGCGCGCGAACCGCAUGAGCGGCUCCACGUGCUCGUACACGCGCGCCACGCCUUCCAGAUCUCCCGCCAUCGCUGCCGCCGACGACGAACACACGUACGCCUCCAUAUUAGCAGUACUUCGCUUGUACAACAAGCUCUGUCCACGUAGCUGCUGGACGCCCAGAUGAGACGACUGAGACGAGAAUAGAUGCCAAGUUGAUCGCAGUCGCAGCAAACUCGUAGUCGUAGCUGCUCCUCCAUCCGUGGCGCCGCGCGAGCGCAUAUAUACCCUGUGCUGUUCGCGCACCGUGCGCUGUCAUGUUGGCGCCGGCCGGCCACCGGCACGGCAGGCUGGCAUGCACCCCCACGGGCGGGCGCGGAGACGAUGCACAUAUACGUACGUACGUAAGUACUACUAGGACCAGGACGUAGGAGCGUUCCAACCGCGAGCAGUUGGCUGGAGGCGGACACAUGGACGCCUCCGGGCGCGCCAGGAGCUAGGCGAAGUUGCCGUGCAUGCGCUGAUGCGCAGAUAAGGACAGGACAUGGCAAUGAUCCGUGCGAGGUUCCGCCUCACGUCCGUACCGACCAAUCAUGGAGCUGAGCCCCUAGUUUGUCCCUGGAAUGUGUGGAGAGAUCCUUUAAGAGCAUCCGUAUCUCCCGAUCACGAGAGAUUAUCUCUGCUGUGUCCGUUUGUGCCCAUCUUCUUCGUGGCUCCUACCUGACCAGAGAUACGUGUCACACUUUGUAAAACCAACUGCGGCGCGCACUUGCCCAUGUCGUUGUUUAUCUCUGUUUAAUCACGCGAUUACCAACUUUAGGGGAUCGAUUGGCUUUCGACAUACGGACAUGCUUACAUUUACAUGCAUGCACAUAAGAGCAUUUCUAAGAGUCUACAGCUGGACUUGCAAGCUGCACAAAAUCAAAUGCCACGUGAACGAAAUAUUUAGCAGUGAUAAACUGAGCACUUUCGCAACAGUAUUAUUAUUCACGCUGGUAAUGUUGGACAAUAUUGGAUAUUGUUCUUGGAGACUGACUCCCAGAGAUGAAUCUCCGACCCAUCUUUUAUUGUGAAAGACGCAAAGCGAAAGAAGAUACCUAGACCAAGUUUUCAAUAUUGCCUGAGACAUAACCUUUUGGUCUAGGUAUUUGUUGUGUAGCAUGGUUUUUCAAACACUACCCCAGUAAGAAGUUUGAAUAAAUUCAGCGCAAAAAAAAGAAGUUUGAAUAAAUAUUUGCCAAGUAGGGCCUCAUUCUUGACCUGCAGGUCAUGAAUGGCAAGGCCACCUAGGUAUUUCGGCCUACAAACCACGCUUCAUUUGUCUAAUCUAUACCUUUGCCAAAAGAAUCUGAAUCUAAAAUAGUUCAGUCUUUACAUGACCCCUUUGAGAAGUUGAAACAAAGAAAGCAUAUAAAGAACCAUAUUUGUGAUAAUCGAGUUGAAAAAGACCAGUUGUUCUUAAACUAAGAGCAACUUACCUUUCUAACUGCUUAACUGUUUCUCUAAGCGCUCAUUUACGUGCUUUCAUUCCGCAUUAGUGAGACACUGAUAAUGCAUCAGUAUCCCCAGAUAUUUGUUCCAUAAUUUGCCUUGCACACAAACAAAUAGAUCAGCAUAGUCAGUCGGCGCAUCACCAGCUUCUCCAAAGCAGAACAAUUCACUUUUAUGAAAAUUAAUUUUGAGACCCAGCAUUUGCUCAAACGUUGAAAGCAAAAGUUUCAGGUUUCUAGCCUUGUCUAGGUCAUGUUAUAAAAAGAAUUGUAUUAUCGGGAUAUUGCAAAAUAGAGAGGUCACCAUCCACAUGGUGUGGCACUACUCCUGCAGUCUGCCCGUCCUGCUUGGCGCGCUCAAUCAGAAUAGUCAACAUGUCAUCAACAAUGUUAAAUAACAUUGUAGACAAGGGGUCACCGUGUUAGGAUGAUCUCCUCCUGAGUGGACCCUUAGAUCCUUGCCCCGAUCGGGGGCGCCCAACCCACUAUGGUUGACGGGCCCCUGUCACCUGUGCAAUAUAUAAAGAGGUCGGGGCCGGCGACACGCAACACAAGGUUCGUCGCGAGUCGUACACCCCACCGACACACCUACCAGUCUAGGUUAGCGCAGUAGUGAUGGGAAGUUCCGCCGCCGCCUCGACCACACCCUUCCAUCACCGUUGCCCUACACCAUGUCCGGCACCACGGGCUCAUCGAGCCAAGGAGAAGGUGCUCUUCCUUCUUCCCCAUCUCUUUGUCCUUCCUUCUCAAAUGAUUAGACAGAUUCUAUAUAUAGAUGGUUCUACCGCUAAUCUCUAGCCUAGAUGUUCCUAGUGAAUUUAACAUUGGUAUCAGAGCAGUGCUAGGCUUAGAUUUUCCCGUAGAAAGAAAAGCAAAUGAGAUCUACACUUUCUAGAUCAAUUACAGUAAAAGAAGAACAACCUUUUCCCUUUUACCGUGUUCGGAUCGAUGUAGAAGCCGAAAUCAAACAGACCCCUUCGAGGCAAAGGGCACCGCCACCGAGCCGCUUGACAGCGGCGCGCUCUCCUUCUGGAGCUCACGCACGCCGGCAAGGGGAUCAGUAGGGACGCCACCACUCCAUUGAAAAAGGGCCCCGUCGAGCGCAAGGGAGCAGAGGAGGGCGCAACCGCGUCCCUCUCUCUCUACCACAUGAUGCGAAGGAUGGAGGGAUGAAAGAAGGGGGAAGGGAAAAAGAAGCUGGCAUGGCGCGGUGGCAUUGAUGCUGUCGCCGGCGGCCGGACGUUGCCCCUUUUUCCGCCGUCUGCGGGACACACAUGAAGAAGGAUGAGGAGAAAAGAAAGUGGGGCUAGGGUUUUGGUCGGGGGGCUCUCUCCCGGUUUUUCUUCAAGCGAAAAGGCCGGUGGACCAUCUAAUCAAAUGGACGGCCACAAUAAAAACCCUAAUUCNNNNNNNNNNNNNNNNNNNNNNNNNNNNNNNNNNNNNNNNNNNNNNNNNNNNNNNNNNNNNNNNNNNNNNNNNNNNNNNNNNNNNNNNNNNNNNNNNNNNNNNNNNNNNNNNNNNNNNNNNNNNNNNNNNNNNNNNNNNNNNNNNNNNNNNNNNNNNNNNNNNNNNNNNNNNNNNNNNNNNNNNNNNNNNNNNNNNNNNNNNNNNNNNNNNNNNNNNNNNNNNNNNNNNNNNNNNNNNNNNNNNNNNNNNNNNNNNNNNNNNNNNNNNNNNNNNNNNNNNNNNNNNNNNNNNNNNNNNNNNGCUAAGCUGCCUUUUUCUUUUGAUUUCUCUGUCAUUUUUUUAUCAGAAGCAUGUUUUAUUUUUUUUCUUGUCUAGUUUUUGGGCAAAGUUCAUACAGUUUUUUCUAUUCAAAAUUAUCCAACAAUUUUUUUUACAAAAUAGAAAAGUAAGAGAAAUGCUUAUGAAAAGCAUAAAGUUCAUGGUCUUUUUAUUCAUAUUUUUCGCUGCAAAAUAAAUAAAAGUGCUCUUUUUAAAAGGUGAAUAGAACUAAUUAAAGUGAGAGUUAAUUUUUAAGAGCAUGCUAAAGUGAUUAUUGAAACAAUUAUGAUUAUGUUAUUUUAUGACCAACACUAUUAAUAACAUAAUCAUGAUUUAUUGUUGUUAUAUGUGCAUUUAUUUCUAUUUUCUGCGCAACGGUGAUAUAGUUUCAAUUGCACAAACAGUUGUAUGUUUUAAUUUUGACCAAGGUUGGAUUAAUGCAUGCAAUUGUUGUUAUGAUCUCACUUCAUUGUUGUUUUCAGGAGGGUACUACUUGAUGAGCUACAUCAAGGAUGUUCCAACCCUCAAAGGUGAUAACUACACUGAAUGAAGAAACAAGGCCGACUUGGCUUUUGUUUGUGCUGAGGUGGACUGGGUUGUGGAUACUCCACAGCCGGUCAAAUCAACAGAGCCAGUCAGAGAAGCAAAUGAUGAUGAUGCUUGGAACAAAAAGAAGAGGGAUCAUGCUCCAGUGGAGAUGUCAUAUACCCUCGACAACCAAAAGUGGCUCACCGCCAAUAAAAAAUGCAUGGCUUUCAUAAAGAACACAACUGAGAACGCUAUUGUGGGAUCAAUUGUAGAGUGUACUUCUGUAGGGGAGUUUCUUGAAAAGAUAAAGAGCCAGUUCAUUGGUUCUUCAAAGAUUUAUGCUACCCAGUUGCUAAAGCAGCUGGUGACAGAAAAGUACACAGGCGGUAGACAUGGCAUAAGAGAGCACAUCCUCAGGAUGAGCAACAUGGCAGCUAAGCAUAAACCCAUCGAUUCGAAUUUGGAGCUCAAGCCUGCACUCCUUGUUCACCUGGUUAUGGCUUCACUACCAAAAGAGUUUGACACUUUUGUUGUCAACAACAACAAGUCGCCUGAAAAAUGGGACAUUGAAAAGACUAUAGCCAUGUGUGUGCAAGGAGAAGAAAGACUUAGAACCUCACAUGGUGGUUCUCUGAACUGUAAGUGCAUAUAGUGCCCCUUAGUGAAAUUGGUGUAUUGAAGACUUAUAGGUUAAGGGACAAAUAUGUUUGUGAGUUUACACAGGCUCUAUAAGUCAAUGAGGAGUUUGUUAUUUACAGUGAAAGUCGACCCCAAAAAUGAAUGUCUUCGGCUGAAGACUUUGGUUCUCCUGAAGACUUUGAAAGUGAAGAAAUUGGUGUGACCUUUGAAGACUUCGAUAAUCAUGCGAGGAAUCUGAAGCGUGAAGACUUUUGUUUUCGUAGUUUCAUUUUCUUCUUCUUGAGUCAUAGGAAACACCGUACUGUUAAAGGGGGUCGAGGUAAUACUAAGGAAACAGAUUUCCAAGUGAUGCUCAUCUCAAAAUCCUACACCUACCCAAUCCUUCGAGUGAAGCCAUUGGAAAUCUCAUAUCAGUUCAGUCAAUUUCUUUAGUGACAGAGACAAAGAUCUUCUAGUCUUUGAGGAAUUUGUUCUGGCCGAGGAGUUAGGAAUUCGCCGGUGUGGAUUGCCUACACAGUGAGGAACAUGAUAGCCUUGAGGAAUUUGAACCUCAAAAUAUCCGACCGUUGCUGAGCCACGCGCCAGCUGUUCCAAAAUAUCCUACCACCUAACGGUCAUAUCUGCCAAGGGCAUUUAUGUCUUAUCAUGUCGGGUUGCUCCCUAGGCUAUAAAAUAGCCGCCCCCUGCAACCACUAGCUGGUUGGUUGCUCCGAGAGAAACUGACACUUGUCAUUUGAGAGCAUCCCAUCCUCCAAGGACUUUGAGCGAAAAUCAUCAAGUGAGGAAAACCCAAAUCCCAAACCCAAACCUACAAACCCCAAAGUGAUUGAGCAUCACUGAAGAGAUUGUUCCUGUGUGGAACCGAUGCUUGUUACCUUUGAGGACUGUGUAUCCACCAGACGGUUAGACGUCAUGGUCUGAGCAUCCAAGGGGAAUUGUGGAUUGCCGAGUGACCAAGUCUGUGAAGGUUUGGAAGUCACCUGUGAAGACUUACCACUACUGUUGGGCGAGGUCUGUGUGAUCUUAGCUCAAGGAGAAUACGGUGAGGACUGUGUGUCCCCGAUUUUAAAUACUCAGCCGCUCCAACCAGACGUACAACCGUCACAAUAGUUGGAACUGAUCUACCAAAUCGUUAUCUUCACCAAGCCAACUGGUUCUUUUUCCUCAACCCUUUCAUUUCCUCAGUUAUGUGUUGAUGUACCUGAUCAUUACUGAUUGAAGACAUUGAUUGAAGACAUUCUCUAUUUCCUCAAUCCUAAUUCUUCAGUCUGUUUGUCUUCAUCCUGCUUAUCCUAUGUUUACGCUUUCUGUACUCAGUGCUUGUCUUUCAUUUCAUCAUGAUGACUAUGUUGUUACUCUGUUUUGCUUAUACCUGAGUACUUAUUCCGCUGCAAGUAGUUCUUCGCUUAUGAAUUUCCUCACCCUGAAAUUCCUAAAUGGAGAUUUCUUAAAAAUCGCCUAUUCACCCCCCUCUAGUCGACGUAAUGCACUUUCAAUUGGUAUCAGAGCAAGGUACUCCCUUGUUCUGUAUGAUUUUGGUUUAAUCACCUGGAGUUUUAGUUAUGUCGACUGCAGGAAUGAGGAGUGUGUCCUACCCCAUCUUUGACGGUCAUGAGUAUCCUCGGUGGAAGGCCAUGAUGAAGAAGCGACUCAUGGCAAUGAACAACAAACUGUGGACCGUCACUGAGAUUGGUCUUACCGAUCUAUGCAAGAUAGCGGAGGCUGAUGACAUUCGCAAGUUCACUCUACUCAACCUCACAGCGAGGAUGCCAUCUACUCCUGUUUGUCCCUGUAAGUGCAUCUAGUGCCACCCCUAGUUGGUUUUGGAGCAUUGACGACAAACCUGGUUGAGGGACUAAUGUGUUUGUGAGAAUUGCAGGAUAACACAGGUAGUAGUCCCUCCUUGAUUCGGUUUACCUACCGGAGAUGACCCCUAAAAAUGUGUGAAGACAUUGAAGACAAUGGUGAUCUGUGAAGAUAUUCACAUUGAAGACUAUGACACGAGAAGACAUUGAGUGAAGACUAUGGAGCGCGAAGACUUAGUUGUUUCGUUGCUUCCUUUUCUUCUUUGUUGGGUCAUAGGAACCAUCACACUGUUAAGUGGGGUCCAAGUGAACAAAGUCAGAGUGACUGAAGUGAUGCUCAAACCAAAUCCUAUGUCUUCGAGCGAAGACAAUGAGAGCAAAUCUUAUCCUGUGUCGGAUAAGUCAGCUUUACUUGUAGCCCAAGUCAAGUUGCCGCGUGUGUUUGAAAUCUGACCGUUGCGACACGUGUCAGUUCCUUAGUGACCUAGGGUCAUUUUGGAAAAAUCCGGUCGGGUUGCCCAGUGGAUAUAAAUAGCCCACCCCCUACACCAUAAAUUGGUGGCUGCUCAGAGUUAGUACAUGGCUUUUGUCGUUUGAGAGCAACCCACCGCCGAAGGUUUUGAGAGAGAAUCCUUGCGAGGACAAAGCCCAUACCACCCAGAGCCCAAAGAGUAUUUGGCAUCACUGAAGUCUUUCUGUCCGCGUGAUCUGAAGACUUGUUACACUUGAGGACUGUGAAUCCUCCAGCCGGUUAGGCGUCGCAUUCUGAGCAUCCAAGAGCCAUUGUGGAUUGCCGGUGAACGAAGUCUAUGAAGGUUCAGAAGUGUAACUUGAAGACUUACCAGAGUGAUUGGGCGGGGACUAAGUGUCCUUAGCUCAAGGGAAAUAAGGUGAAGACGCAGUCUUCUGAGUUGAAUCUUAGCCUCCCUAACCAGACGUACAGUUGUCACAGCAACUGGAACUGGUCGAAUAAAUUCCUGUCCUUCUGAAGCCACUGGUUCUAUCUCUUACCUCUAUUUACAUACAAUUUGUCUUCGUGAAGUCAUUGCCUGCUUGCAUUAUCUGUUUGACUUCACUGUGUGACUAUCUGUUCUGAUUGGCUUCAUACUAUCUUCCAUCCUGAUCUCCACUACCUAGAUGCUAUUAGUCUUUGUGCUUUCUCUCUACUGAAUACUUGACUAUGGCUUGUCUAGUGUAGUCUACCUUCCGCUGCAUCCGAAUAGUGUUGUUUAUAUUGUUUGUCUUCGAAACUCCCAUGUUUUGAAGACUUUCAUAAAAAUUGCCUAUUCACCCCCCCUCUAGUCGAUAACUAGCCCUUUCAAUUGGUAUCGGAGCAAGGUACUCCCUUGUUCUGUGUGAUUCGGUUUAACCACCUAGAGUUUAGCUAUGUCGACUGCAGGGAUAAUCAAAGUCUCCACUGCGUGCCCCAUCUUCGAUGGCACUGAAUAUCCCUACUGGAAGAAUAGGAUGCGCAUGCAUCUUGAAGCCAUUGACGUUGAUCUAUGGUAUGUUGUCAAGAACGGCGUUCCCAAGACUGGUGAAGGUGUCACCCCUGUUGAUGUCAAGAAGUUCAUUCAACUGGACUCUACUGCCAAGAACAUCAUUUGUGGUCACCUUACCAAAGGACAGUAUGUCCGUGUGAGUGCUCUCGAAACGUUGAAGCUAGUCUGGGACUGGCUAUCCAAGGUCAAUGAAGGCGUCUCAACUCAGCGAGAUCAACGUAUCAGUACUCUCCGCAACCUCUUCAACCGCUUCAAGAGACACGACAACGAGAAUGUCCAGCUCACAUUUGAUCGCCUCACUGAUAUCAAAAAUGAGCUCCAAGCACUCGGCGCCACUGAGAUCAUGAAGCAUGAGAUAGUGAAGACACUACUGAGAUCUCUUGGCAGCUCAUUUGACACCUUAGCCCUGAUGAUACAAGAACGCCCUGAUUUCAAGACUCUCGAUCCGUCUGACAUACUUGAGAGGCUCAACACACAUGAGUACCAGCUAUCUGAGAAACGAGAUAUCUAUGGCCCCAACUAUGGACGAACUCGAGAUUUGAAGGCAAAGGCUGCUGCUUCCUCAUCUGAAGAAGAAUCUGACUGCAGUUCUGGUGAUCCUGAAGACAUUGGAAAGGAACUUGCUAUGCUUGUGAAGAAGUUCCAGAAAUUCACGAAGAAGAAAGGCUUCAGAAAGUCUUCACGAUCCAGCUCAAGAAAUGAUGAAGCUUCUGCCUAUGAUCACAAGAAGAGAACCUGUCACAAGUGCAAGAAACCUGGUCACUACAUCUCUGAGUGUCCACAGUGGGACAAUGAGAAGAAGAAGAAGAAGAACAAAGAAUAUGAUUCGGAUGACAACAAGAAGAAGAAAUCCUCAAAGUCUUCUUCCAAGUCUUCUUCCAGAUCUUCAUCACACAAGAAAAGCUCAUCUGGCAAGGCCCGUGCUUUUGUUGGCAAGGAAAUGGAUUCUAAGGAGGAGUCAACUUCAGAGGAGGCGGAGGUGGAGUCUGAGGGGGAGUCUGACUCGGGUGUUGCGAGUCUGGCCCUAGCUACUGCCUACGUCGCCAAGUCCAUCUUCAACACCGAAGACAAUGGCUCCGUCACCAACACUGAUGAUAAUGACGAGGAUGACUCACCUCCCACCUACUGCUUCAUGGCACGUGGUGCCAAGGUAAAAUCACGCGAUGCUUACUUUCCAACAUCCAGUGAAGAUUCCUCUGAUGGUGAAUCCAAACCUAGCUACAAAACACUUGCUAAAAUUGCAACUGAACAACAGAAAGCUAUGGAACAUACUCAAAAACUGUUAGACAAAAGUGAUGACCUGUUGGACGCGGAAAUGACCAAGUCUCAGUCCUUAAUUGAAGACAUAAAAAAUCUUCAUAUUAAGUAGCAGGAACUUGAAGGUCGACAUGAAUUGCUCACAACUUCUCAUGAAAAGCUUUCCUAUGAUUAUCUUCAAAGGAAGCAGGAACUUGAGAAAUUGAGAUCGGAUCAUGAAGAUCUUCAAAAGGAAAAUGAGUCACUUCGCGCCCAACAGAUCAGUUCCGCUCAGGAAGGAUUUGAACCACCAUGCCUAAAAUGCAUUGAGCGUGAUAAUGAUGCUUCUGUUGCUGAAUGUUCUACUGCUGCCACUGUUGCAAUAUCUUCAACUGCUGAUGUGGUAACUAACCCCUCUGCUGAGGAUACCACUACUAUUGCUGAUGAGAAUGCCAGGUUGAAGACACUGCUUGAGACAGGGAUGUACAAAAGUCUCAAAGGGCAUCAGACACUGUGUGAUGUCCUCAAAAAGCAGAUUCUGAACCGAAACCCUAGGAAAGAGGGUGUUGGGUUUGAGAGGAAAAUGAAUGUUGAUGGGUCGUACUGGAAGCCUGAGCAGUACCCCAAAACCACAUGGGUUGCUGCAAAGGAACCUCCAGCUGAUCCAUCCACCUUAUCUGGUUUCACUUGUGCUAACCCCAUUAUCAUUGAUGAAUCUUUUGAUGCAAACUAUAAACUGUUUAAGAAUCAGAAUGGUGAAGUGUUUGCCAGGUAUAUUGGUACUAACUGUAGGAAUGGGCCACCAGUGAAGAAGAUAUGGGUUCCAAAAAGUUGUCUUGAGAAUCUUCCAGUGAAUGUCAACAUGACACCAUCUGUGAAGAAGACAAAUCCCAUACCAAAGGCUUCAUAUGGUCCAAAAGCUUCAUACAGACCGAGGACUCAUCUGAGUCACCCUAACGUCAAUUUUUUGCAGGGAAAUCAUACUCAGACCCAUGAAUAUGAGCGUGUUUCCUCAAACCGCUAUGUUCAUAGAACAAAGAAUUUUUUUGCUUAUUCCUAUGAGUAUUAUACACCUCCUGCAAGACUAUUUACUAGGGCUCCAAAGCCGAAAUUCUCAGAUGCUGCACUUAGACUCAUUGCUUCUAAGCCACCCCUGAAAAUGUGGGUGGUUAAGAAAAAUUAACUCUCUUUUGCAGGGAAAGGUCUCCAACCGGAAAUCAAAGGCGUCCAAAACUAAUGCUGGGGACCUUAAACAUCUUGUGGGACGCAAGAUAAAAUGCCCAAAUGGUCUUACUAUGUACUUCAUUCCAGGAUUCCUUGACACUCACCCUAUCUAUCCUAACCAAGAUCUGAAUUUCCAUGUUCCACUUGUUCGUCAAAUGUUUAUGCUUCACAACUCGCUUGGUGAAGCCUAUCCCCCAAACUGCACUGUAGGCUACAACACCUCGUACUUCAGAAUGGAUUAUGGACAGUGGAUGCACUAACCACAUGACGGGCGAUCGAAGUCUUCUGAUGGAUUCAACGCUACAUCCAUCAGACAAAAGUCACAUCACAUUUGCUGACACUGGUAAAAGCAAGGUAUUGGGUCUAGGCAGAGUUGCAAUAUCAAGGGAUCAACACAUGGAUAAAGUGAUGCUUGUUGAAUCCCUUGGUUUCAACUUAAUGUCUGUCUCAAUGCUUUGUGACUUAAACAUGAUUGUGCUAUUUGGAAAAUAUCGAUGCCUUGUACUAAUGGAAUCUGACAAGUCUCUAGUCUUUGAAGGGUAUCGGAAAGACGAUCUAUAUAUGGUAGAUUUCUCAGCAGGACCACAGAUGGUCGUAUGUCUUCUAGCAAAGGCUUCAGAAUGUUGGCUCUGGCAUCGAAGGCUAGGACAUGCUGGCAUGAAGAACUUGCACACUCUCGCAAAGAAGAAGCAUGUCGUGGGCAUCGAAGGCGUCAAAUUCAAGAAGGACCAUCUAUGUGGUGCCUGCGAAGCUGGAAAGAUGACUAGGGCCAAGCAUCCCUCAAAGACAAUCAUGACUACAUCUCAACCCUUCGAGCUGCUUCACAUGGAUCUAUUCGGCCCUACUCACUACUCUACUCUCAAUGCUACUGCUUGCCUCUAUGGUUUCGUAAUUUUUGAUGAUUACUCUAGUGCAGGACUGAAGUGCAAGAUGUCUUCAGACGAUUUGCCAAUCGUGCCAUGACGAACUAUGGCGUCAAGAUCAAGCACAUCAGAAGCGACAAUGGCACUGAGUUCAAGAACACUGUACUCGACCUCUAUCUGGAUACACUUGGUAUCACACAUGAGUUCUCUGCUCCUUAUACACCUCAGCAGAAUGGCAUCGCCGAGCGCAAGAAUAGAACUCUCAUUGAGAUGGCUCGAACGAUGCUUGAUGAGUACAAGACUCCACGGAAGUUCUGGCCUGAAGCCAUUGACACUACUUGCCACAUCAUCAACCGCGUUUAUCUUCACAAGCUUCUGAAGAAAACAUCCUGUGAGCUCCUAACUGGUAAGAAGCCAAAUGUAAGCUACUUCAGAGUAUUUGGUGCUAGGUACUAGAUCAAGGAUCCACAUCACACUUCAAAAUUUGCACCGAAAGCACAUGAAGGUUUUAUGCUUGGUUAUGCGAAGGAUUCGCACUCCUAUAGAGUCUUCAACCUCUUUCACUAUAAAGUGGUUGAAACUGUGGAUGUGCGGUUCGAUGAAACUAACGGCUCACAAAGAGAGCACCUGCCAAAUGUGCUAGAUGAAGUACCUCCAAGUGAAUCUAUCAAGCAGAUGGGAAUUGGAGAUAUCAUACCUUCUGAGAAUCAAUCUGAAGAGGAACUUGUCAUUUCUGCACCCAAUCAACUUGAAGAAAAUUCUUAGCCUGAAGACAAUCCCCCAAAUGAUGACAUUGAUCAGCAAGAGCAAAAUCUUCGUCCUGCGCAUCCUCGUGUUGCAAAUGAAGUUCAGAUUGAGAAGAUAAUUGACAGCUUGAAUGCACCUGGUCCACUCACUCGUUCAAAAGUAACUCAAAGUAACCAACUUCUGUGGGCAUUUUGCAUUUGUCUCAAUCUCUGAACCUAAGAAAGUUGAUGAAGCCUUCAUGGAACCUGAAUGGAUUCAAGCUAUGCAAGAAGAGCUUCAACAGUUCGAGCUGAAUAAUGUGUGGGAAUUGGUCAAGCGUCCUGAUCCUCGGAAGCACAAUAUCAUCGGCACCAAAUGGAUAUAUCGCAACAAGCAAGAUGAGCAUGGUCAAGUUGUCAGAAACAAGGCUCGUCUCGUUGCGCAAGGUUACACUCAAGUGGAAGGAAUUGACUUCGAUGAAACAUUUGCUCCGGUGGCAAGACUUGAAGCCAUUCACAUACUGCUAGCCUAUGAAAAUCAUCACAACAUUCUUCUGUAUCAAAUGGAUGUGAAAAGUGCUUUUCUCAAUGGAAAGAUAGUAGAAGAAGUAUAUGUCGCACAACCUCCAGGCUUUGAAGAUCCAAAACAUCCUGAUAUGGUAUACAAGCUCAACAAGGCACUGUAUGGCCUCAAACAAGCCCCUCGUGCUUGGUAUGACACGCUCAAAGACUUCCUGGAGAGCAAAGGCUUCAAACCUGGUUCACUAGAUCCUGCACUCUUCACGAAGACAUAUGAUGGUGAACUAUUUGUGUGCCAAAUCUAUGUGGAUGACAUUAUCUUCGGCUGCACCAACAAGAAAUACAGUGAUGAAUUUGGUCACAUGAUGCAAGAGCAAUAUCAAAUGUCCAUGAUGGGCGAGCUGAAGUUCUUUCUGGGUCUUCAAAUACGUCAGCAACACAAUGGCAUCUUCAUAUCACAAGAAAAAUAUCUCAAAGACUGCCUGAAGAAGUUUGGAUGCAAGAUUGCAAAGGAUACACGACGCCAAUGCCAACCAAAAGUCAUUUAGGUCCCGACGACAAUGGUAAAGAGUUUGAUCAAAAGGUAUAUCGCUCCAUGAUUGGUUCUUUGCUUUACUUAUGUGCAUCUAGGCCAUAUAUAAUGCUUAGUGUUUGCAUGUGUGCCCGAUUCCAAGCGGCACCAAAGGAAUUGCAUCACUUAACUGUGAAGCGAAUUCUUCAAUAUUUGGCUUGCACCCCAACACAAGGAUUAUGGUAUCCAAAGGGCUCAGAGUUUGAUCUAGUUGGAUUCUCAGAUGCUGAUUAUCCUGGUGACAAGGUUGAUCGCGAGUCCACAUCAGGCACAUGUCACUUUCUGGGAUGAUCUCCUGUCUGUUGGUCUUCAAAGAAGCAGAACUGUGUAUCUCUCUCUACUGCUGAAUCUGAAUACAUUGUUGCUGGAUCUUGCUGUGCUCAACUUCUGUGGAUGAAGCAAACUCUCAAGGACUAUGGAAUCCAUCUGAAGAAUGUGCCUCUCUACUGUGAUAAUGAGAGUGCCAUCAAGAUUGCCAACAACCCAGUUCAGCACUCGAAGACAAAGCACAUUGAAAUUCGUCAUCACUUUCUCAGAGAUCAUAUUAUGAAGGAAGAUAUUGAUAUCAUUCACGUCAAGACAGAAGAGCAGUUGGCUGAUAUCUUCACAAAGCCCUUGGAUGAGAAAAGGUUUUGCAAGUUGCGGUGUGAGCUAAAUAUCUUAGAAUCCUCAAAUGUCCUGUGAAUGGGCACACAUCCUAACACUCAUGCAUUUUGAUGACUUCGAUGUGCAACACACGAAGUAAUGUAUAUCUUCAAUAGAUGAAGACAUACACUCUAAGUGUGAAUACAUUAAUGCGGAAUUUGACUUCGGAGCGCCACGAUAAUUGUGCGCCGUGUAUGGGUCUAAUACUUCCUAUACGGUGGGUAACGCCACCACCAAAUUUUUGUUUGAAGUGUUUCUCUUGGCAUUAUGUUUGCAUAGUUUUCAUAUUGGAUUCAUAUUCAUCCUUGGCUUAUAUUCAAGUCUAUCUUCAAUUGGUUGAAUUGGACUAGUACUAUAUAUAUUUAUGUGUGUUUUGUCCUCUACAACAUUCACUUAUAGCUAUGGUUUCGUGUUGAAUCUUUUGAACUAAGUGAAUGUGAUCGGAACCUAUCUAUGCUUCUACCUCAACUCUAUCUGUCCAAGUCAUAUGCAUUCUAUUGGAAACUAUCGAUUGUCUUCACUAAGACCUUGUUAGCUGAAGUCAAUCUGACAAACAUUUACAUCUAUUUUUAAUGCUUUAUCCUAUUUGCCUGAAACCCGGAGAAUUUGGAAUGACCACCCCGACAAUCCAGGCGUGCGUGGGAACAUGGAACAACUCCCAGGCUGUUGCAUGCUUGCCACGUGUUCGUCAGAUGUGAACCGCCAGGGGCACCCGCAUAAUUGCGUUGUGUCAUCCCUGUCCUUAUAAAUACCCGUCACGUCUCGGUCAAAAUUCCUUCUUCCUCCUCGCCAUCUCUCGCAGACCCUAGCGCCUCCACUAGCUCUCGACGACGUCGAGGACGAAGCGCUUAGCUGUAGCGACUUCUUCGACGCCAUCCUCACGCCGACCGCGGACCUCGUCCUCUCCGCCGUCGCCGUAGGUGUCUUCUGUCGCCAAGUUAGGGCAUGGGAGAUCGAACUUCUUGGCCCCUACCUUCGCUCCGUCUAGCAGUUCUUCGUGUGGUAAUUAAAUUUUACCUUCUACCGUCUUUUCGGUCUGAUAGAUUCAUCCGUCUUUACCAAAAGUGGUUUCUAGAUCUCCAUAUUUGAAUCUAUCUCAUUCUGCAUCUCAUAUUCUGCCUAGUAUAUUCACUUAUGCUUCUUUACAAGUUAGAUUCCUCACUUGUACUUAUUCUUGGAUUUGUACAACUCUGGAACCAACUCUCAUCAAAUAAGUGAAUGUCUUCGCAUUAUGAGGUCAAUAUCUUCAAACUGAUUUAUCUUCAAAAUCUUUUGAGAAUGCAUAUGACCUCUUCCCCUUCCUCGCACCUCUAAUGUUGUCACAGGUACAUGUCCGUGGGAGAAUCCCUUGGUUCUCAUAGUCUGCAUUCGUUUGCAGAAUUCUUACAGAGUCACAUCAAUUCACCUGAAGCCAGUUCUUGUCUGACCAGCCGUUUGAAGCCAUUGCACGUACCGAAGCCCUUCAGUUUAAACUUCAUGGAAACUAAGAAGUCAGCAUGAAAGGGAGGUAGACAGCGCCGUGGUAACACUUCCAAGGAUUUGCCUCCAGAUUUGCACGAGCUGUACAAAACAGGCCCUGAGGAAACCUAUACCGGCCACAAGAAUCGAAUCCGGUGGAUUCAAAGAUAUUGGGCAGAAUAAUGGUUCAAAUACCGCUUCGAAGAAUAUGCAGAGAAGAAUGCCAUCAAGGGACCCUGGGGAGAUAUUGUGUACAAAAAUCUUCAACCCCAGUCCCUUCCUGAAGCCAUCCAACAAGAAUUCUAUCGGUGCAUGAUUCGCGGACCGCAGCCAGAGAACGCUGAUCCUUCUUCUCUACUGUGGUGCCGUGAAGACCAUCUGUUCAAGCGCAACUACCAGUUCGCCAAAGACUCAGCUGCGAAGAACAAGAAGGCUCUAGGGCUUGACUUCAACCCUGGUCCUUCCUCACCUCGGGACGAUGGCACCCGUGAAGCCAAUGAGAACAUGAUCGGCCCCUUCUACAACCUUGCUGGCCUCAUCACCCACAUUACUGUCCAAGGUGCCAAAGUGGAUCAUUCUGAUGAUGGUGCUGACACUGAUGAAGCUCCAACUCCUACUCCAAAGCCACAGAAGCAAAAGAAGGCUAAAGCUUCAAAGUCAUCUGCUGCUCCAAAAGCUUCACGAGUGAAGCCAUUGGCAACUGCCCCUCCUACUCCCAGUAACACCUCUGAAGAUCUCUCUCGCAUCUCCAAGAAGCGUGAGAAGCCACAUAAGAAACACGUUCAACGACACAGUCAAGCACUGACACCUGCUGCCGUUCUGAGGAACGAAUCUGAAGCCAUUGAUUUUUCUUCAGAUGAAGAAUUUGGCAAUGAUGCUCUCGAGCAGUUGAUCAAGAGCAAGCAAGAGGCGGAGAUCUUCAAUGAUCUGCCCCUCUUCGAUGUGAACAUCUUGCACAAUUUCAUUGAUGAAUGGUUCGACAAUCAAGAUCUCAGCUUUGAUGAUCUUCAACUCCCCAUUGGCAUCAGCGUCUCCUUUCAAGGCGCCAUUGCUCCUGAGCUGGCUCUGGCUCAGCAAAUUGUUGAACUGAAGCACAAGAUUGAUUUUGAGAAGGAAAAGUUCAAGAAGCAUGUGGCCAAGCUGAGUGUGGUUGAUGUCCAGAAAUUCAAGGUGAUGCUCAAUGACCUCAAGGAGGCGUUUCGCAAGAAACGUGAGGAAGCCAAAGGCUCAAGAGAGCGCAUGAAAACUCUUGCUGCCAAGUGUGUUCAGGCUUACAACGAAGCUGAAAAGCGCAAGGCUCCUGGGCGUCCUAGCAUUGACCCCAAGAUGGCUGCCAAGCAGAAGAAGAAGCACACUGUGGCCCAGGCUGAAGCUCCAUGGCGGGAAGAACCUCACAUUGUCUUCCCAGCCAGCAUGACAGGCUGAAGCCUAAGGUCUCCACAGUGGCUUCAGAUCAGCAGAAAACCAAGGCAGCUGAAGCCGAAGCCAGAAAGUGCAAAAUCAAGUGCACCACUGAUGAUGCACCACCCCCCAAGAAGAGAAAAACCAAGAAGAGAGAUCGGGCUGCUCCCACAUAGCCCCUUAUAGUUGAACCCAUUGCUUUCGCACACCCUGACCCUGACAAUCAAGAGCGUCAGUUGAUCAUUCAUGAGUCUGCUUCCACAGAGGCUCCUGAAGCUCAAGAAGUUCCAGUCGUUGACCCCAUCGCGACUGAAGACAUUGGUCCUCACGACAAUGUAGAAGAUGAUGUAGUUCUUCCUCAGAUUGAGCGCCCGACGGUAUCAUCGCUUGUUCUCACGAACAGCGAGCUCAUCAGUAUUGCUCGUCCUUUGACGCCAAUCUCUCAACAUGCCUCGUGGGCUGAUCUCCCCCAACCAGCAACCCCAAGUCAAGAUUCACAAAGUACACCCCGUCCUCCACCAGCGCAAGCCAUCAGUCCAUUGGUGAAUGAUGAUAACUAUAUGGAGACCACACCCUCGCCAAAGGCGUCGCCCGUUUUUCAACGGCUUCGCAAAGGUCUCAAGCCCUCGGUCUCCAUGACCACCAUCACAGAAGAAGACUCAAACCCGUGUUGGAAAUAUGCCCUAGAGGCAAUAAUAAAAUGGUUAUUAUUAUAUUUCUUUGUUCAUGAUAAUUUUCUGUUAUUCAUGCUAUAACCGUGUUAUCCGGAAAUCGUAAUACACGUGUGAAUACAUAGACCAUAACAUGUCCCUAGUAAGCCUCUAGUUGACUAGCUCAUUGAUCAAUAGAUAGUCAUGGUUUCCUGACUAUGGGCAUUGGAUGUCGUUGAUAACGGGAUCACAUCAUUAGGAGAAUGAUGUGAUGGACAAGACCCAAUCCUAAGCAUAGCUCAAAGAUCGUGUAGUUCGUUUAGCUAGAGCUUUUCCAAAUGUCAAGUAUCAUUUCCUUAGACCAUGGGAUUGUGCAACUCCCGGAUACCGUAGGAGUGCUUUGGGUGUGCCAAACGUCGCAACGUAACUGGGUGACUAUAAAGGUGCACUACGGGUAUCUCCGAAAGUGUCUGUUGGGUUGGCAUGAAUCGAGACUGGGAUUUGUUACUCCGUAUGAUGGAGAGGUAUCUCUGGGCCCACUCGGUAAUGCAUCAUCAGAAUGAGCUCAAUGUGACCAAGUGUCUGGUCAUGGGAUCAUGCAUUACGGUACGAGUAAAGUGACUUGCCGGUAACGAGAUUAAAUGAGGUAUUGGGAUACCGACGAUCGAGUCUCGGGCAAGUAACGUACCGAUUGACAAAGGGAAUUGUAUACGGGGUUGAUUAAAUCCUCGACAUCGUGGUUCAUCCUAUGAAAUUAUCGAGGAGCAUGUGGGAGCCAACAUGGGUACCCAGAUCCCGCUAUUGGUUAUUGACCGGAGAGGCGUCUCGGUCAUGUAUGCAUGUCUCCCAAACCCGUAGGGUCUACACACUUAAGGUUCGGUGACGCUAGGGUUGUAGAGAUAUUAGUAUGCAGUAACCUGAAAGUUGUUCGGAGUCCCGGAUGAGAUCCCGGUCGUCACGAGGAGUUCCGGAAUGGUCCGGAGGUGAAGAAUUAUAUAUAGGAAGUCAGGUUUCGGCCAUCGGGAAAGUUUCGGGGGUUGCCGGUAUUGUACCGGGACCACCGGAAGGGUCCCGGGGGUCCACCGGGUGGGGCCACCUAUCCCGGAGGGCCCCAUGGACUGAAGUGGGAGGGGAACCAGCCCCUGGACGGCUGGUGCGCCCCCCUUGCCCCCCCUGCACCUAGGGUUGGAAACCCUAGGGGUGGGGGCGCCUCCACCUGGCUUGGGGGGCAAGAUUCCCCCCUGGCCGCCGCCCCCCCUUGGAGAUCCCAUCUCCUAGGGCCGGUGCCCCCUAGGGGGCCUAUAUAAAGAGGGGGGAUGGAGGGUAGCCGCACCCAUGCUCUUGGCGCCUCCCUCUCCCAUUGCUACACCUCUCCCUCUCGUAGAAGCUCGGCGAAGCUCUGCCAAGAUCACUGCUGCAUCCACCACCACGCCGUCGUGUUGCUGGAUCUCCGUCAACCUCUCCUCCCCCCUUGCUAGAUCAAGAAGGAGGAGACGUCUUCCUCAACCGUACGUGUGUUAAACGCGAAGGUGCUGUCCGUUCAGCACUAGGAUCAUCGGUGAUUUGGAUCACGACGAGUACGACUCCCUCAACCCCGUUCUCUUGAACACUUCCGCUCGCGAUCUACAAGGGUGUGUAGAUGCACUCCUUUCUCUCGUUGCUAGAUGAACUCAUAGAUUGAUCUUGGUGAAAGCGUAAGAAAAUUUUAUUUUCUGCAACGUUCCCCAACAACCAGUCCAGCUCAGUGGCACGUCAAGUGUUCCCUGAAGACAAUCCUUCUAUGACGGUUCCCUCGUCUGAAGCCAAUGUUGCUGAAGACAAUCCGGCUGCAUCAGCCGCAGAAAUACAAGAAGAAGAGCAUGUUGCUACUCCCCCUACCACCCAAGAAGUUGUUCUCGAGGAGAACGUAUCUGUGCCCGACCCUCCAGCUCCUCAAGUGGAGGUUGAGAAUCCUGAGGUGUCCACCAACAACACCUCUGAAGCCAAUGACGUUGUCAUGGCUGAAGACAAUGUGGUGCCUGCAGUGAACACUAUGCUUGAAGCCCCUAUUGCUCCUACAACGAAUGUGCAGCCUGACGCCUUUGCUGAUGCCACUGCUCCUAUUCCGCCACCAAGGCCCCACACCAUUGAGAAUGCAUUCUACCAAGGAGAGCUUGUUCCUGUCAGAUGGCCAAUUCUGGUACCUCUGCCUGCUCCUAGACCGCAAUUUGACUAUCAUGUGGAGCAUAGGCCUUAGGUUUAGAAGCCAAAACCAAGGCUGGCAAGGUUCCCAGGAACUGCAUCGGCACCAAGCUCAUUCAAUGUUAACGGCUUCAUUGCACACAACACCUUCUUCGAUACUGGCAAGAACCCAUACUCCAAGCCAAGAAUAUCAUCAGAUCGGUUCUGGAGCUAUCAGCAGCGCAACUACUACUCCUGUAUUCUAUACAAUCAGGAGCGCAUAUUUCCUCAUAUGCGUUUGGACAGUGAAGCCAUUGCUGGUCUGCCUUGCCUAGAAGAAGCCCUAGACUGCUUUCGUGAUGCUGGCCUUCUGCAGUUUGUCACCGACAAGGAGCAUUGGAAUGAAGAGCUUCUCCUGCAAUUCUAUGCAACCCUCCACAUUCGUGGCUACAACAGGGAUACAACGACAUGGGUCCUUGAGUGGAUGACGGGCAACGUUCAUCAUGAAGCCAAAGCCUUUGAUCUCAAUGACCUUAUCGGCCUCUCCACUCCAGGCGAACUGUAUGAACCUGGUUGUCAGCUUCAUCGCGAUGCAUUGGAGAACAUCUUUCAGAAGCCAGAGCCCAACAUGAGCCAGAUGCUUAGUAUGAUGAAGCCACUGCCCCAGGAUGCUGAGUAUCCCAAGGAAUUCCUUGUUGAAGACCUAGAGUAUCUGCCCCGCACUAUUUAUCAUAUCAUUAGGCGAACUCUAUGGCCCAUCAAAGGGCAUUCCUCCUUGGCAAAGCUUGAAGGUGCAAUGAAGACAUUGGUCUUCUACAUUCUAAAUGGCAAAAGCUUCAGUACUCAAGAUUUCUUCAUUCGCCAGUUUGCUGCAUCUGGGUCUGACAUUUUUGGUCUGAAGUUCUAUGCUCCUUGGAUCAUGCGUCUGAUCAAGCUCCACUCUGCCAUUGACUAUCAGCCCUCUGCUCGUAACCAUCUCAUAUUUUUACCAGAGGUUGAUAAGUCCAUUGAAGCCAUUUACCCAGAGCCUGCCAAGGAAGCACUAUAUCUUCACAAUAUAGAUCGUCAGAGCUUUUCCCAGCAUGUUGAAGGAGUUCAGGUUGCUUCUCGUGUUUAUCCACUGGCCGGCAACACUCGCCGUGCACGCACUGAAGCCACUGAAAGUACCAUUGCUCCAAGGCCUCGGAAGCGCUAUCGUGUGCUCAAUGACCGAGAGCUUCUCGUGGCCUUGCAUCAAAAGCAUGACAAGCAUCAUUACUGGAUGAAGCGUCAAAUGCAAAGCCUCUUGGUGGAUGUCAAUCGCAUUCGCAAUCUUGCCACCAAGAAUGCCUUUGUCACCCAUGAAACCUGUGGGAGGUCUUGGAAGAGUUUGACAUUGCUAAGUGAUGAAGCUGAUCUUCAAGACGAUGGCUUCACUGAGCGAUUCAAGUUCGACUCCACUCCUCCCAGGAAUGAUGUCUUACGUCGAACCCGGUCUCUUGAAGACUCAGAGUACUCCUCCUCCGCAGCAACUGUGAAUGCCAGAGUCUUGGAUGACGCAGAUGAUGCUACCUCACCACCUCCAACCUCAGCGCGUGUCGACACUACACCAAGUUCUUCUGCACCACCAAACCUCAAUGAUGACCCUGCUGCUUCUCCUACUCCUCAUGGGAACGAGUAGAGCCUAUGUCUUCAAAUCUUUUUGGUCCUUACUGACAAAACGGGGAGAAGCAUAGGUUGGUAGUCUUCAAGCGGGUCUUGAUGGGUGGUUGAUAUACUUUUUUCCUAAGUACUUACAACUCUCGUUUUGCUACAUUUGGUUCUUUGAGCUGUAACACUUAAACUUGAUGGUCGUCUGCUACUUUUUCUGCUAUUCUGUGUGAUGCGAUGAUAAAUUCCGCAUAUGCGAUGAUAAAUCCCGCAUGAACUCAUUCUGCAGAUGUCCAUUUUUCAUUAUGCAUGUCAUUAUUCCUGUAUAUCUUUUCAUGCAUGAUGUAUUGUCUUCAUAUGGUGAAGAGGAUCUCCACGAGUACAACCUGCCAUGUGCAUUUGCAUUCCAAUGCAAAACAUUUAUAUGCACAUCUUUAGGGGGAGCCUUUUUGUCAUCUAUGAAGACAAUAUCUUAAUCCUUACAAUUUCACAUACUUUUAUCCCCGUUGAAAACUUCAACCAGUUUGUCAUCAAUCACCAAAAAGGGGGAGAUUGUAAGUGCAUCUAGUGCCACCCCUAGUUGGUUUUGGAGUAUUGACGACAAACCUGGUUGAGGGACUAAUGUGUUUGUGAGAAUUGUAGGAUAACAUAGGUAGUAGUCCCUCCUUGAUUUGGUUUACCUACCGGAGAUGACCUAAAAAUGUGUGAAGACAUUGAAGACAAUGGUGGUCUGUUGAUGACCCACAAGUAUAGGGGAUCGCAACAGUUUUCGAGGGUAGAGUACUCAACCCAAAUUUAUUGAUUCGACACAAGGGGAGCCAAAGAAUAUUCUCAAUUAUUAGCAGUUGAGUUGUCAAUUCAACCACACAUGGAAACUUAGUAUCUACAGCAAAGUAUUUAGUAGCAAAGUAAUAUGAUAGUGGUGGUAACGGUAACAAAAGUAAAGACAGUAAAAAUAAUGUUUUUGGUAUUUUGUAAUGAUUGUAAUAGUAGCAACGGAAAAGUAAAUAAGUGUAAACCAGUAUAUGGAAAACUCGUAGGCACCGGAUUAGCGAUGGAUAAUUAUGCCGGAUGUGGUUCAUCAUGUAGCAGUCAUAACAUAGGGUGACACAGAACUAGCUCCAGUUCAUCAAUGUAAUGUAGGCAUGUAUUCCGCAUAUAGUCAUACAUGCUUAUGGAAAAGAACUUGCAUGACAUCUUUUGUCCUACCCUCCCGUGGCAGCGGGGUCCUAUUGGAAACUAAGGGAUAUUAAGGCCUCCUUUUAAUAGAGAACGGGAACAAAGCAUUAGCACAUAGUGAAUACAUGAACUCCUCGAACUAUGGUCAUCACCGGGAGUGGUCCCAAUUAUUGUCACUUUGGGGUUGCCGGAUCAUAACACAUAGUAGGUGACUAUAGACUUGCAAGAUAGGAUCUAGAACACACAUAUAUUCAUGAAAACAUAAUAGGUUCAGAUCUGAAAUCAUGGCACUCGGGCCCUAUUGACAAGCAUUAAGCAUAGCAAAGUCAUAACAACAUCAAUCUCAGAACAUAAUGGAUACUAGGGAUCAAACCCUAACAAAGCUAACUCGAUUACAUGAUAAAUCUCAUCCAACCCAUCACCGUCCAGCAAGCCUACGAUGCAAUUACUCACGCACGACGGUGAGCAUCAUGAAAUUGGUGAUGGAGGAUGGUUGAUGAUGACGACGGCGACGAAUCCCCCUCUUCGGAGCCCCGAACAGACUCCAGAUCAGCCCUCCUGAGAGAGAUUAGGGCUUUGCGGCGGCUCCAUAUCGUAAAACACGAUGAUUUCUUCUCUCUGAUUUUUUUCUCCCCGAAAGCCAAUAUAUGGAGUUGGAGUUGGCGUCGGAGGGCCACCAGGAGGCCCACGAGGUAGGGGGCGUGCCCAGGGGGGGCACCCUCGUGAGCAGGGUGUGGGCCCCCUGGUCUUCAUCUUUUGCAAGGAUUUUUCUUUAUUUUUUCUAAGGUGUUCCAUGGAGUUUCAGGACAUUCCGAUAAUUUUUAUUUUCUGCACAUAAAACAACACCAUGGUAGUUCUGCUGAAAACAGGGUCAGUCCGGGUUAGUUCCAUUCAAAUCAUACAAGUUAGAGUCCAAAACAAGGGCAAAAGUGUUUGGAAAAGUAGAUACGAUGGAGACGUAUCAACUCCCCCAAGCUUAAACCCUUGCUUGUCCUCAAGCAAUUCAGUUGACAAACUGAAAGAGAAAAAGAAAAACUUUUACAAACUCUGUUUGCUCUUGUUUAUGUAAACAUGAAAAGCCAGCAUUCAAGUCUCAGCAAUUAUUAUAAACUAACCAUACUCACAAUGACACGUAGGUCUCACAAUUACUCAUAUCAAUAGCAUAAUCAACUAGCGAGCCAUAAUAGAAAAACUCGGAUGACAACACUUUCUCAAAAUAAUCAUAACAUGAUAUAACAAAAUGGUAUCUCGCUAGCCCUUUCUGAGACCGCAAAACAUAAAUGCAGAGCACCUUUAAAGAUCAAGUACUGACUAAACAUUGUAAUUCAUGGUAAAAGAGAUCCAGUCAAGUCAUACCCAAUAUAAACCAAUAAUAAUGAAUGCAAACGACAGUGUGCUCUCCAGCUGGUGCUUUUUAAUAAGAAGGGUGAUGACUUAACAUAAAAGUAAAUAGAUAGGCCCUUCGCAGAGGGAAGCAGAGAUUUGUAGAGGUGCCAGAGCUCGGUUUUGAAAUAGAGAUAAAUUAUAUUUUGAGCGGCAUACUCUCAUUGUCAACAUAACAACUAAAAGACGACGAUAUCUUCCAUGCUAAACAGAUUAUAGGCAGUUCCCAAACAAAAUGGUAAAGUUUAUACUCCCCUUCCUCCACAAGCAUCAAUCCAUGGCUUGCUCGAAACAACGAGUGCCUCCAACAUUCAACGGGUCCCAAGGGGAGUUUUGUUUGCAGUUAUUUGGAUUUAGUUUGCAUAAAGCAUGGGACUGGGCAUCCCGGAUACCAGCCAUUUUCUCGUGAAUGAGGAGCGGAGUCCACUCCUCUUGAGAAUAACCUGCCUAACACGGAAGAUAAGGGCAGCUCUAGUUGACAUCUGAGCUAUUCGAGCAUGCAAAACAGAAUGUUUAUUUGAAGGUUUAGAGUUUGGCACAUACAAAUUUACUUGGAACGGCAGGCAAAUACCACAUAUAGGUAGGUAUAGUGGACUCAUAUGGAAUAACUUUGGGGUUUAAGGAGUUUGGAUGCACAAGCAGUAUUCCCUCUUAGUGCAGGUGAAGGCUAGCAAAAGACUGGGAAGCGACCAACUGAAAGAGAGACAACAGUCGUAAACAUGCAUUAAAAUUAAUUCACACCGAGUACAAGCAUGAGUAGGAUAUAAUCCACCAUGAACAUAAAUAUCAUGAAGGCUGUGUUGAUUGGAUUCAACUACAUGCGUGAACAUGUGCCAAGUCGAGUCACUCAAUGCAUUUAAAGGAGGAUACCACCCCAUCAUACCACAUCAUAAUCAUUCUAAUAGCAUGUUGACACGCAAGGUAAACCAUUAUAACUCAUAGCUAAUCAAGCAUGGCACAAGCAACUAUAAUCUCUAAAUGUCAUUGCAAAUAUGUUUACUUCAUAAUAGCUGAAUCAAGAACGAUGAAUCAUCAUAUUUACAAAAACAAGAGAGGUCGAGUUCGUACCAGCUUUUCUCUUCCCAAUAAGUCCAUCAUAUAUUAUCAUUAUUGCCUUUCACUUGCACCAUAGAACGGUGUGUAUAAUAAUAAGAGUGCAUGUGCAUUGGACUAAGCUGGAAUCUGUAAGUAUUCAACUCAAGAGAGAAGACAAGUAAUAUGGGCUCUAAGUUUAAAUAAUCAAUCAUGCAUGUAAGAGCCACUAAGCAUUUUCAACAUGGUCUUCUCGACCCCCAAAGAAAGAAAAGAAAUAAAAACUAUUUACACGGGAAAGCUCCCAACAAGUAAAAGAAGAACGGGAAAUAUUUUUGGGUUUUCUUUUUAAUUCUACUACAAGCAUCAAAAGUAAGCUAACUAAUUUUUUUGGUUUUUCUUAAAGUUUAUCAAACACACAAGAAGAAAGCAGGAAAAAGAAAUUUAAACUAGUAUGGAUAAUACAAUGAAAGAGUAUGAGCACCGACAUCUAGCAAUGAGUGUGUGUGAACAUAAAUGAAAUGUCGGUGGGAAAUACGUACUCCCCCAAGCUUAGGCUUUUGGCCUAAGUUGGUCUAUUGACAGGGAUGGCCCGGCGGAUAUCCAUAGGUGAAGCUGGGGUCGUAGUGUGACGUAGCGGCUAUCGCCGCCUGAGCUGUAGCCUGGAGUCGAGCAGCCUCCACUCUCCUUUCGUACUCAUCUGCCUCCUCUCUGGUAAUAAUUUAUCUUCUUUUUGCGUGUGAAUCAAAGAAAGCAGGAGCAGGAAGAGCAAUAUGGACUACACGAUGUCUGUCAAAGAUUAGUCGAUACUGGAGAGGUGGUCCAGUCCUCUCAACAAACUGAUGGGAAACCAUAGAAUCAAAAUCUAAAUAAGAAGUGGGUAAUUCCAUAUCACCCUCACGAAUGUCUACCUCAAGAAAAUUAGCUAAGCGGGUUGCAUAAAUUCCUCCAAAGAAAUCUCCGCUAUGUCUAUUCUGAUGCAACCUGCGAGCUAUAAUGGCUCCCAAAUGAUAAGAUUGGUCUCCUAACACAGCACUUCUGAGAAUACUGAGAUCAGGGACACACAUAUGACAUGCUUCAUCCUUAGCAUUUAUACAUCUACCUAUGAAGAGAGCAAAAUAAUAUAUAGCAGGAAAGUGAAUGCUCCCUAUAGUAGCUUGCGUUAUAUCUCUAGAUUCCCCCACAGUUAUUCUAGCAAGAAAGUCUCUAUAUUCGGAUUUAGGGGGAUCCCUGACAUUACCCCAAGAUGGAAGUUUGCAAGCAGAAGUAAGAUCCUCUAAGUCCAUGGUAUAAGAUUUUUCAUAAAGGUCAAACAUGACUGAAAGAGAAUUUCGCGAAGUUGAAAACUCAAACCUCCUCACAAAUGAACUUGUGAGAUCAUGAUACUGGGGGCAUUUGUCAGCUUCAAAGUCCUCAAGACCGGUGUUACUCAAAUAUGCGCUAAAUUCUUCUUUGAUUCCCACUUGAUUCAUAAAAUUUUCUGACGGCCAUUCACAGGGCCUCACAGGAGCGUCUCUUGGUGGUUCCUCAUCGGCAUCACGUAUUGCGAGCCUGGGACCUUGCUUCCUUGAGGGACCACCUUGGAACAUCCUCCUAAGCAUAUUGUUUCCUCUGGAAAAUUUCUGAAAUUUUAGUAACUUCAAAUAAAAGUGAACCAACUUCAAUAAAAUUGAUAGCAACAACUCCCAAGGGUGCCUAGGGCCUAUAUAAAGCAUUAGAACUACUUGGAACCAUAUAAAUUUGUCAUGCAAGCUCAAGAACAUGGUCACCUAUGCAACACAAACUUGCAAAGAAUAAAGCACUAGAACAAAAACUAAUUGGACCAAUGGAGGAGUCACAUACCAAGGAACAAUCUCCCCAAGCAGUUUUGCGUGAGGUGCUUUGAGCAAGGAGAUCGAAAAUCACAGCAACGGGGGCUGGAACUCGUGCUUGAGUUGGUUUUUCGUGUUUGUGUGAGGCAGAGUAAGAAGAUGGGUGCAGGAAUAAGUGGAGGAGGGCCACCGUGGCCCCACGAGGCAGGGGGGCGCGCCCAGGGGGGUAGGGCGCCCCUCCACCCUCGUGGCCAGGUGGCAGCUCCCCCCGUGGUAAUUUUUGCAUAGUAAAUUCUCAAAUAUUCCCGAAAAAAUCAUAUUAAAUUGGCAUGGCAUUCUGAGGACUUUUAUUUUCUGGAUAUUUUUAUAUUGCACGGAUAAGUCAGGAAAUAGACAGAAAAAUAUUAUUUUACUUUAUUUCUACUAAAUAACAGAAAAUAUAAAGAGGGUAUAGAAAGUUGUGCUUCUAGUUUCAUCCAUCUCGUGAUCAUCAAAAUGAACCCACUAACAAGGUUGAUCAAGUCUUGUUAACAAACUCACUCCGAAUAAUCCCGGAACCGGAGAAAUUUCGAAUGACACUAAGUUACAUCAACGGGGAUAUGAAAAUCCCCAACAAUAAGAAUAUCAUACUUUUUCUUGACAGUAGGGAGAGGAAAUUCGAAACCUCCAAAUAUAAUUGAUGCAAUUUUCCCAAUAGAGUUAAUACUAUAAACUUGAGGUUGUUUCCUCGGAAAGUGUACGGUAUGCUCAUUGCCAUUAACAUGAAAAGUGACAUUGCCUUUGGUGCAAUCAAUAACAGCCCCUGCAGUAUUAAGGAAAGGUCUUCCAAGAAUAAUAGACAUGCUAUCAUCCUCGGGAAUAUCAAGAAUAACAAAGUCCGUUAAAAUAGUAAUGUUUGCAACUACAACAGGCACAUCCUCACAAAUACCGACAGGUAUAGCAGUUGAUUUAUCAGCCAUUUGCAAAGAUAUUUCAGUAGGUGUCAACUUAUUCAAAUCAAGUCUAUGAUAUAAAGAAAGAGGCAUGACACUAACAUCGGCUCCAAGAUCACAUAAAUCAGUUUUAACAUAAUUUCUUUUAAUGGAGCAUGGUAUAGUAGGUACUCCGGGAUCUCCAAGUUUUUUUGGUAUUCCACCCUUAAAAGUAUAAUUAGCAAGCAUGGUGGAAAUUUCAGCUUCAGGUAUCUUUCUUUUAUUAGUAAUAAUAUCCUUCAUAUACUUAGCAUAAGGAUUUGUUUUGAGCACAUCAGUUAAUCGCAUACGCAAAAAGAUGGGUCUAAUCAUUUCAGCAAGGCGCUCAAAAUCCUCAUCAUCCUUUUUCUUGGAUGGUUUCGGAGGAAAACGCAUGGGUUUAUGAACCCAUGGUUCCCUUUCUUUACCAUGUUUCCUAGCAACAAAAUCUCUUUUAUCAUAACAUUGAUUCUUUGAUUGUGGGUUAUCAAGAUCAACAGCGGGUUCAACUUCUACAUCAUUAUCAUUACUAGGUUGAGCACCAACAUGAACAUUAUCAUUAACAUUAUCACUAGGUUCAUGUUCAUCACCUGAUUGUGUUUCAGCAUCAGAAAUAGAGAUAUCAUUCGAAUUCUCAGGUGACUCAGCGAUAGGUUCACUAGAAGUUUGCAAAGUCCUAUCAUUUUUCUUUUUCUUCCUUUUAGAAGAACUAGGUAUAUCAAUAUUGUUUCUCUGAGAAUCUUGCUCGAUUCUCUUAGGGUGGCCUUCAGGAUACAAAGGUUCCUGAGUCAUUCUACCAGUUCUAGUAGCCACUCUAACAGCAUAAUCAUUUUUCUUGCUAUUCAUUUCAUCAAGCACUUCUUUCUGAGAUUUAAGUACUUGUUCUACUUGAGUGGUAACCGUAGAAGCAUGUUUACUAACAAGUUUAAGUUCACCUCUAAUAUCAGCCAUAUAAUCACCCAAGCAUUUAAUCAUAAAGGUAUUCUAUUUUAAUUGUCUACCAAAAUAAGCAUUAAAGUCAUCUUGCUUAAACAUAAAGUCAUCAAACUCAUCCAAGCACCGACUAGCAAUUUUAGUAGGAGGGACUUCAGCUUUAUCAUAUCUAUAGAGAGAAUUUACCUUUACUACCUGUGUCGGGGUAUCGGGAGGUUCUUCAUUAAAUAAGUAAUUGAGAUCAUAUACUUCUUCAACAGGCGGUAAAUUAAGACCAUGUAUUUCUUCAAUAGGAGGUAAAUUCUUAACAUCUUCAGCUUUAAUACCUUUUUCUUUCAUAGAUUUCUUUGCCUCUUGCAUAUCUUCGGGACUGAGAAAUAGAACACCUCUCUUCUUUGGAUUUGGUUUAGGAAUAGGCUCAGUAAUUGGCUCAGGAACUGACUCAGGAGGUAGCUCGGGAGGUGCCCAAUUAUUUUCAUUUGCCAACAUAUUAUUCAGUAGAAUUUCAGCGUCAACCGAUGUUCUUUCCUUGAAAAGAGAACGAGCACAACUAUCCAGGUAAUCUCUGGAAGCAUCAGUUAGUCCAUUAUAAAAGAUAUCAAAUAUUUCAGGUUUCUUAAGAGGAUGAUCAGGCAAAGCAUUAAGUAACUUGAGAAUCCUCCCCCAAGCUUGUGGGAGACUCUCUUCUUCAAUUUGCAAAAAAUUGUAUAUUUCCCUCAAAGCAGCUUGUUUCUUAUGAGCAGGAAAAUAUUUAGCAGAGAAGUAAUAAAUCAUAUCCUGGGGACUUUGCACACAACCAGGAUCAAGAGAGUUGUACCAUAUCUUAGCAUCACCCUUUAAAGAGAACGGAAAUAUCUUAAGUAAAUAAAGGUAGCGCGAUCUCUCAUUAUUUGUAAAUAGGGCAGCUAUAUCAUUUAACUUAGUAACAUGUGCCACAACAGUUUCAGAUUCAUAGCCAUAAAAAUGAUCAGAUUCAACCAAAGUAAUUAUAUCGGGAUCAACAGAAAAAUCAUAAUAAUCCUGAUCAGGCACACAGAUAGGUGAAGUAGAAAAAGCAGGGUUGGGUUUCAUUCUUCCUCUAAAAAAGAUUCUUUACUCCAUUUAAUUACAACCUCUUAAGUUCAGGUCUAUCCUGGCAAGCAAAAAUAGCUGCAGAAGAUUCAGCAUCAAAAAGAUAACCCUCGGGAAUAGCAGGCAUAGGUUCAUCAUCACUAACAUCAUCGUGUUCAGGUUCAAUAAUUUCUCUUUCUCUAGACCUAGCAAUUUGCUCAUCAAGAUAUCACCAAGUGGCACAUAGUAUCAAGCAUAGACGUAGUUUCAUCAUAAGUAUCAUGCAUAGCAGAAGUGGCAUCAUCGAUAACAUGCGACAUAUCAGAAUCAAUAGCAGUAGUAGGUUUAGGUGUCGCAAACUUACUCAUAACAGAAGGAGAAUCUAGUGCAAGGCUAGAUGGCAGUCCCUUACCUCCCCUCGUAGUUGAGGGCAAAAUAGUAGUUCGAUCAUCUUUCAAGUUCUUCAUAGUGUCCAGCAGAUAUAGAUCCCAAGUAACUCAAAGAAUAGAGCUAUGCUCCCUGGCAACAGCGCCAGAAAAUAGUCUUGAUGACCCACAAGUAUAGGGGAUCGCAACAGUUUUCGAGGGUAGAGUAUUCAACCCAAAUUUAUUGAUUCGACACAAGGGGAGCCAAAGAAUAUUCUCAAGUAUUAGCAGCUGAGUUGUCAAUUCAACCACACCUGGAAACUUAGUAUCCGCAACAAAGUAUUUAGUAGCAAAGUAAUAUGAUAGUGGUGGUAAGGGAACAAAAGUAAAGACAGUAAAAAUAAUGUUUUUGGUAUUUUGUAGUGAUUGUAACAGUAGCAACGGAAAAGUAAAUAAGUGUAAACCAGUAUAUGGAAAACUCGUAGGCACCAGAUUAGCGAUGGAUAAUUAUGCCGGAUGUGUUUCAUCAUGUAGCAGUCAUAACAUAGGGUGACACAGAACUAGCUCCAGUUCAUCAAUGUAAUGUAGGCAUGUAUUCCGCAUAUAGUCAUACGUUCUUAUGGAAAAGAACUUGCAUGACAUCUUUUGUCCUACCCUCCCGUGGUAGCGGGGUCCUAUUGGAAACUAAGGGAUAUUAAGGCCUCCUUUUAAUAGAGAACCCGAACAAAGCAUUAGCACAUAGUGAAUACAUGAACUCCUCAAACUAUGGUCAUCACCGGGAGUGGUUCCGAUUAUUGUCACUUCGGGGUUGCCGGAUCAUAACACAUAGUAGGUGACUAUAGACUUGAAAGAUAGGAUCCAGAACACACAUAUAUUCAUGAAAACAUAAUAGGUUCAGAUCUGAAAUCAUGACACUCGGGCCCUGGUAACAAGCAUUAAGCAUAGCAAAGUCAUAGCAACAUCAAUCUCAGAACAUAAUGGAUACUAGGGAUCAAACCCUAACAAAACUAACUCGAUUACAUGAUAAAUCUCAUCCAACCCAUCACCGUCCAGCAAGCCAAUGAUGCAGUUACUCACGCAAGGCGGUGAGCAUCAUGAAAUUGGUGAUGGAGGAUGGUUGAUGAUGACGACGACGACGAAUCCCCCUCUCCGGAGCCCCGAACGGACUCCAGAUCAGCCCUCCCGAGAGAGAUUAGGGCUUGGCGGUGGCUCCGUAUUGUAAAUCGCGAUGAUUUAUUCUCUCUGAUUUUUUUUCUCCCCGAAAGCCAAUAUAUGGAGUUGGAGUUGGCGUCGGAGGGCCACCAGGGGGCCCACGAGGUAGGGGGGCACGCCCCCACCCUCGUGAGCAGGGUGUGGGCCCCCUGGUCUUCAUCUUUUGUCAGGAUUUUCUUUUAUUUUUUCUAAGGUGUUCCGUGGAGUUUCAGGACAUUCCAAGAAUUUUUAUUUUCUGCACAUAAAACAACACCAUGGCAGUUCUGCUGAAAACAGCGUCACUCCGGGUUAGUUCCAUUCAAAUCAUACAAGUUAGAGUCCAAAACAAGGGCAAAAGUGUUUGGAAAAGUAGAUACGACGGAGACUUAUCAUCUGUGAAGAUAUUCACAUUGAAGACUAUGACACGAGAAGACAUUGAGUGAAGACUAUGGAGCGCGAAGACUUAGUUGUUUCGUUGCUUCCUUUUCUUCUUUGUUGAGUCAUAGGAACCACCGCACUGUUAAGUGGGGUCCAAGUGAACAAAGUCAGAGUGACUGAAGUGAUGCUCAAACCAAAUCUUAUGUCUUCGAGUGAAGACAAUGAGAGAAAAUCUUAUCCUGUUUCGGAUAAGUCAGCUUUACUUGUAGCCCAAGUCAAGCUGUCGCGUGUGUUUGAAAUCUGACCGUUGCGACACAUGUCAGUUCCUUAGUGACCCAGGGUCAUUUCGGACAAAUCCGGUCGGGUUGCCCAGUGGCUAUAAAUAGCCCACCCCCUACACCAUAAAUUGGUGGCUGCUCAGAGUUAGUACACGGCUUUUGUCAUUUGAGAGCAACCCACCGCCGAAGCUUUCGAGAGAGAAUCCUUGCGAGGACAAAGCUCAAACCACCCAGAGCCCAAAGAGUGUUUGGCAUCACUGAAGUCUUUCUGUCCGCGUGAUCUGAAGACUUGUUACACUUGAGGACUGUGAAUCCUCCAGCCGGUUAGGCGUCACGUUCUGAGCAUCCAAGAGCCAUUGUGGAUUGCCAGUGGACGAAGUCUGUGAAGGUUCGGAAGUCUACCUUGAAGACUUACCAGAGUGAUUGGGCGAGUACUAAGUGUCCUUAGCUCAAGGGGAAUAAGGUGAAGAUGCAGUCUUCUGAGUUGAAUCUCAGCCUCCCUAACCAGACAUACAGUUGUCACAGCAACUGGAACUGGUCGAACAAAUUCCCGUCCUUCUGAAGCCACUGGUUCUAUCUCUUACCUCUCUUUACUUACAGUUUGUCUUCGUAAAGUCACUGCAUGCUUGCAUUAUCUGUUUGACUUCACUGUGUGACUAUCUGUUCUGAUUGGCUUCAUACUAUCUUCCAUCCCGAUCUCCACUACCUAGAUGCUAUUAGUCUUUAUGCUUUCUCUCUACUGAAUACUUGACUAUGGCUUGUCUAGUGUAGUCUACCUUCUGUUGCAUCCGAAUAGUGUUGUUUAUAUUGUUUGUCUUCAAAACUCCCAUGUUUUGAAGACUUUCAUAAAAAUCGCCUAUUCACCCCCCUCUAGUCGAUAACUAGCCCUUUCAGUCCCAAAAUCAGUUCAGGAACGUCAUGCAUCUCAACCAUGCGAAGCUAAUCUGGGACCGGCUCUCUGAGGUCUAUGAAGGUCAUCGUACUUGUCAUAAUCCUUGGUUUGAGGAUUUCAAGGAAUCACUCGAGGAGAUGACUUUCGCACUUGAAUCAUCAUCCUCUGCACCAUGCCUUAUGGAAAAGGGUGCCAAGGUAACAGAAUUGUACAUCCCAAAUUUUCAAUUUGGAAUGUUAUACAUUAGAUCAUCAUUGCAUAUCAUAUUUUAUUGCAUUUUGGCUUGAUCCUAGAAAUUCUACGCAACUCAAGGACCCACAAGAGAGUUGGGGAUUUCGUUAUUUUCAUAUUUGAGUUUUCUCAAAUUUUAAAAAAAAAGAUCGUUUGGUUUUAAUUAUUUUCUCUUCGAAUAUUUCUUUUAUAAAAAUAAAAGAGAGGGAAUAAAAUGACUUUCCCAAAAUAAAUAAAUAUUGGAGGUUUAAUAUUAAAAUCAAAUAAUAUUUUUAUUCAUAGUUUUGUCGCUACUGUAUUUGAAUUAGGAAAAUAUGUGUUUUUCAAAAUUGCAUUUUAGGCCCAAAUAAAUGUUCACUUUGUCCGCUAUAUUUUUAGAGGACGAGGAAAAUUUAUUUCAGGAUUUUUGGAGUCCGUUUAGUAUUUCUUUAUUUUGUUUUUCUACGCGAAAUUAUUUAAAAAAAUCCCACCGACCUAGCCGGGCCGUGCCCGACUAGGACUCCAGCUCGGCCGGCCCUUUAAGAGGCGAGGGCCCGAGCCGCCGAAACCCUAGCCCCGCCCCAGCCCCACACCCCGCCGCCACGCCUUGCCGCCGCCGGACGCCGCUGCUGCCGGAGGCCGUCACCGUCGACCCCGUCGCCGCCGCCGAACGCUGCCCCGCUGGAGUUGCUCGCCGCCGCCGCCGCCGUCAUGCGAACUGUGGUAGCCGUCGGUUUUAUCCUAAAAACCAUUCGGUUUUAUUCGUAAAACCUAGAUGCGUUUUUUAGAUCGUUUUUUUGGUUUAGUUAUUUAGCGAACGCCCGUUUGUUCGUUCGUUUUAACGAACGGUGUUCACCCAUUAGCCGUAGACAGCGAACGUUCGUUCGUUAGCCUGUUCAUCAGUUUUUCUUUUUCCAGGGAUUUUCUGCGAUUAUUUUCGAUCGCAAUUUCUGCCCUGAUUUUCGUUUUAGUUUAUCUUUUCGCUUGUUUAUCGGAAUCAGGCGAUUCAAGCGCCUAGAGUUUCGUCUCGAAGCCCUCUUUAUGUUUAACCAACUUAAACAAGUUUUUGCUACUGUAAAAUUGACUUAAGUCCAGAUUAGUAAACGAAGCUUGUUUCUUUCGCAGUUUGAGUUUCGUUGCUUCGUUUGAGUUGAUUCUUUUUGCAUACCGGAGUUCUUAAGUUGAACUUUCUGGUUAGAUCUCUUAUUUGAGUGUUCCCUGUGCUUGUAGUUGAGUGCUUAUUGUAUGCUUAUUUGUUUGCGAUAGAGUACCCGGAGUGCAAAGCAUGCUACUAUGAGUCUCUAGGUUUCACGGAUCAUCAGCAAGGCAAGUAACACUUUGAUCAUACCUCUUUACUACCCAGUUUUCUUUCAUUAGAUCAAUCCUCAAACAAUUGCAUGGUUAGGAUCUGAUUAACAUGUGGGUUUUGGGAAGUGGAUGAGGUAGUACCUAUUGUCCUGUUUAUUAUCAAACCUUUGGGAGUUACUUCUACGUUGCUUAUAUUGCUAUGUUAUGCUUGUAGACGUGGAUUGGGUGACUGUAUCCAUGACAGAUGUGAGUAUUGUUAUUUAAUGGUUAACUUAAGGUGGCUACUUUAAUACACAUCUGGGUGGAUUGAGGCACCUGGGGAACCCAGUGUUGUCUGUAUUUUUGGAAAUCCCAGGGUACCGUGUGAUUCUCCUAUGUACCGCCACCCAGGCUCAAAGGGAUCAUAAGAUUAUUUAUGCUAGAAACUUCCGUGUGCAACCACAAGCUAUUAUGGGCUCUAGCAUAGUUGAGUAUGUUGCAAGACCUCUUUCAGUGGUGGGCUAGCAGAUGUAGGGGAAAGUAGGUGUAACUGUCCAUCCAGAGUAAAGAGUUAUUAUUUCAGAAAGAUUGUGUCUCGUUUCUCCGACCAUGGAUGUAUUCGAGUCUUGUGGGGAAAAGUGCGCAAACCUCUAUAGAGUGUAUAAACUAAUCAUGGUUAGCUGUGUCCCCGGUUAUGGACGUUUUGAGUAUCUAGUUCUUGGAUUAUCAUGUGGAUCUCAUCACUCUUAAUAUAUUUUGACUGGGUUUAAUGAUGAUGCUUAAUUGGGAUUGAGUUGGGUGAACCUUCUCAAUGUUUAAUAACCACCAUGAUAGUUAAAUAAAAUUUAUUCCUUUGUUGUAGAGAAAAAUUGGCUUUAUGCAAAACUGUAACCAUAGAGCUUUCCACCAUCCAUAUAUGCAUGUAGUGAUAUCAUUAUUCUGUUUAUUACUCUCUAUGUGUUACAUUGCCAGCAUAUUCCAUGUGCUGACCCGUUUCGGGCUGCAACGUUCAUGUUGCAGACUUUUCAGACGACGAGUAAGGUGCCUUAGGUCAUGAUCUUUCACUCAGUGAUGUCGUUGGAGUUGAUGGACUCACUUUAUCUUCCAAGCCUUCCGCUAUUAUCGUAUUUAGAUGGCCUUAAGCCAUAUUUAUUGUAAUAAGUUCUCUUUUGAGACAUUUAAUGUAAUAAGUGUGUGAUUGCUACUCUAUUAUAAAUCCUUCAAGUACUGUGCGUGUAGCAUUACCGAUCCAGGGAUGACACUCAUGCACAGAGAUCAGACUGUUUGAGGUCUGGUCGCUACAAGAUGGUAUCAGAGCACACAUUGACUGUAGGACAAGACUACUAAGCUAAAGCCCUAGAUCACUACUCUCUUCUCAUUUCUGACUCCUCUCCCUUUUCUACUCUUUAGGAUGGCAGAUGCAAGGAACAAGUUCACGCAACCGGAUGAAAAUACACCUUUCGGAUGCCACUUGAAGGAAGUCACCAUAUCCUGAACAUCGGAGUACCAAGCUUCACCGGGACCUACAUCUCCACUUUACCAGAAGAGGAGUGUUGGAUGAUUCGAGUUCAAGUUCCAGGAAGGACAUUCAUGCCAGUCACUGAGCCCAUAGAGUUUUCCUUUGAUGCACCAACCUGGAGUAUAGGAAAGAGCAUGUUAGCCCACAUCACCAUGGGACCCAUUGGAGAAAUGUACCACAAGGAUCUCAAGGAUACUAUCUACCAGAUUUGUGGGCGCCUAGAUGAGCAAUGGGAGAUGAUCAGCACCAAGAAGGAUAGAUCUAUUGCAGCUUUCAUCCAGGAGUUAAACCAGCACAUUCGACGCCAGGAGAACCAGAUGUGCGCGGGCAUGAUAGAUCUGAAGAAGGCAAUGACCAGGAUCAUGGAGCUGGAGGAAGAACUCAAGUCUACACGUGAUGGAUAUGAGGAGGAAAUGAGAAUACUCGUGGAGAAGAAUGACGAUCUGAAGAAGAAGCUAGGAGUAUUCAUGGGAGACCCCGCGCCAGGAGGAGAUGACGAUGAUUCCACUUGUACGGAGAACUACAUCAUCAUCGACGACACCGACUCAUACCCUGAUGAUAGUGAUGAUGACUAUGUUGAUGAAGCUGGAGCAGAUAUCAUGGAGUCUUCGACCGAUCAAUUUUUCUAGUCGACCACCAUAUCAGUAGCAGUAUUCCUCCAUGUAUAUAGUAUAGUCCGAGCACUUUGGUAACGAUAGUUAGACCAUUGUAUGCCCUUGUUUGAAUUGAUUGAAGUGAUAAUGAUUGUGUUUGUCUCAUGUGCAUAUGGGUAUUGUUUUCCCUCUAGAUCUAUUUCUAUUUUAUUUUCUCAUCUUUUCUAAAACCCUUAGAUGCCUCCGAGACGCGACAAUGGAUUUGCUUUCCCACCGGAGCUCACUCAGUUGAUCCAACAGCAGAAUGCAUUGAUGCAGAUACUAGUCCAGAAUCAGAAUCAGGGGAACAACAACAACAACAACAACCCACCAUGACCACCACCUGUUGAUCACUUAGCCCGUUUCUUGAGGCUUAAUCCGCCGGUGUUCUACAGUAGCACCGAGCCGAUAGUUGCAGAUGAUUGGCUCCACAAGAUUGGAAGGGAGUUGACCACUACAGGAUGCACAGAUGCGGAGAGAGUGCGUUUUGCCGCACAUCAGCUUGAUGGACCCGCAACAUCAUGGUGGGAGAAUUUCACAGCCACUUACCCCAUCGACACUAUCACAUGGGAACAGUUUUAGCAGGCUUUCGGAAUCGCCCAUGUUUCAGCAGGAGCUAUGGCCAUGAAGAAGCAUGAGUUUCGCAACUUGCGCCAAGGAGGACGUACAGUUGGCCAGUAUGUGGAUGGUUUUAGUAAGUUAGCACGUUAUGCCCCAGAUGACGUUCUACGAAUGCAACUAAGCAGGAGAAGUUUCUGGAAGGACUGAAUGAUGAGCUGAGCAUGAAGUUGAUGGUGGCAACCUUCAAAAACUACCAGGAGUUGGUAGAUAGAGAUCUCAUGAUUGAAGGGAAGCAGCAGCAGAUUGACAACCGAAAGAGGGAGUAUGGACAAGGGAAGUACAAUUCUGGGCUCAGCAAAAGCCUCGUUUUACCCCGAACUCGGGAGGACCUUUUCAACAUAACCAUGGAGGUCACAACCACAAUGGAGGAAGUUCGCACAACCAUAGUGGCCCCAAGAAUGGGAAUGGUAAUGGAGGAAGCAACGGCCAGAACCGUUCCAACCCAGCAACACCCGCCAAGAAAGAUCUGAGCCACAUUACUUGCUACAAGUGCCAGAAGACUGGACAUUACGCCAAUGAAUGUCCUGAAGCUAAGAAUGGGAAUGGCAAUGGAAGCUCUGGGAAGAAGCCGAACCCUUUCAACAGGGGACAAGUGAACCACCUUAACAUGGAGGACGUUGAAGCAUAGCCAGAUGCAGUAAUAGGUGAGUUUUUGGUUAAGUCAUUUACUGUAAUCAUUCUUUUUUAUACUGGUGCAUCGCAUUCAUACAUCAAGGGGAUUUGUGGAUAAGUCUAAACUGCCCACCAAGGUUAUUAGAACACCUAUGUUAGUAAGCUCGCCAGGAGCGGAUUAUAUGGCAAGCCAAGGAUGUUUUCAGAUGCCAUUGACCAUAGGUAGGCAUGUUUUCCCCUCAGACCUGAUAAUUUUGGAGUCGCAAGGUUUGGAUGUGAUUCUGGGUAUGGAUUGGCUAUUGAUGUAUGGAGGGAACAUCGAUUGUGCCAGCGAGUCGAUUUUGCUCACCACCCCAGAAGGAAGAAGGAUUAAGUAUGCAUCCCGUCAUGUGCCGAAGAGGACUCAAGUGAAUUCCUCAUCGGGAGUUGUACAGGAGGAAGUACCAGUGGUGAAGGAUUUCCCUGACGUAUUUCCAGAAGAGUUGCCAGGCAUGCCACCAGAUAGAGACAUUGAGUUUUUGAUUGAGCUUUUUCCAGGCACAUGGCCAAUAUCUAAGAGACCGUACAGGAUGCCCGCAAAGGAUUUGGAGGAAAUUAAGAAGCAGAUUAAGGAGUUACUGGAUAAAGGCUAUAUUCGCCCAAGUUCGUCACCUUGGGGAUCACCAGUGCUUCUAGUGGAGAAGAAGGAUGGAUUGUUGAGGAUGGUUGUUGAUGAUUGAGGGUUGAAUGAAGUAACAAUCAAGAACAAGUACCCACUGCCGAUGAUCAAUGAUUUGUUUGACAAGUUGCAAGGACCUAAAGUAUUUCCAAUAUCGAUAUGCGAUCAGGAUACCACCAGUUGAAGAUUCGAGAGCAGGAUAUACCUAAGACAACUUUUACCACAAGGUACGGGCUAUAUGAGUAUACCGUUAUGUCAUUUGGUCUGACUAACGCCCCUGCCUAUUUCAUGAACAUGAUGAACAAGUUGUUUAUGGAGUUUCUGGAUAAGUUCGUCGUGGUGUUCAUUGACGAUAUUCUGGUUUACUCGAAGAAUGAAGAGGAGCAUAAGGAGCAUUUGCGUUUGGUACUUGGGAAGCUCAGAGAACAUCAGUUAUAUGACAAGUUCAGCAAGUGUGAGUUUUGGUUGAAGGAAGUUGGAUUCCUCAGACAUGUUAUAUCCGGAGAAGGAAUAAUUGUAGACCCCACCAAAGUUGUCACUCUGACAAAUUGGGAAGCACCCACGUCAGUUGGAGAGAUCCGUAUUUUCUUGGACUUGCGGGAUACUACUGGAGGUUCAUUGAGAAUUUCUCGAAGAUUGCAAAGCCCAUGACGGAGUUGUUGAAGAAGGACACCAAAUUCAAAUGGACUGAGGAAUGUGAGGCCAGUUUCCAGGAGUUGAAGAAACGUUUGGUUACAUCACCAGUGGUUAUUCUGCCAGAUCAAUGCAAGGAAUAUGUAGUAUAUUGUGACGCUUCUCGUCGAGGACUUGGAGUAGUGCUUAUGCAGGAGGGAAGAGUUGUUUCAUAUGCCUCACAACAGCUUAAACCCCAUGAGUUAAAUUAUGCUACACACGAUUUGGAGUUAGCAGCCGUAGUGCAUGCAUUGAAGACCUGGAGACACUUUCUCAUCGGAAACCAUUGUGAGGUGUACACGGAUCACAAGAGUUUGAAGUAUAUCUUCACGCAAAAGGAGUUGAAUCUCGGGCAAAGGAGAUGGUUGGAGCUCAUUAAGGAUAAUGAUAUGAGGUUGCAUUAUCAUCCCAGAAAGGCUAACAUAGUAGCUGAUGCGUUGAGCCACAAGAGCCAUGUCAACACACUCAUGACCGGAGAGUUACCCAAGGAGUUAGCAGAGGAUCUUCGUGAGCUAUGUUUGGAGAUAGUUCUGAGAGGCUAUGUAGCAGCAUUGGAGAUUCAAUCCACCUUGAUGGAUAAAAUCAGAGAAGCCCAAAAGACGGACAAAGAGAUUGCCAAGAUAAAGGAAAGGAUGAAAAAAGGAAAAGCUAAGGGAUUUUGUGAGGAUGAGCACGAUACCUUAUGGUUUGAGGACUGCGUAUAUGUGCCCAAUGAUCAGGAGAUCAGGAAGUUGAUUCUGCAAGAGGCCCGUGAUUCGCCGUAUUCGAUUCACCCAAGAAAUAACAAGAUGUAUCUGGAUUUCAAGGAUAGUUUCUGGUGGACCAGAAUGAAGAAGGAUAUUGUGGAGUAUGUAGCAGUUUGUGAUGUAUGUCAGAGAGUAAAGGCAGAGCAUCAGAAGCAGCAGGAUUGCUACAGCCAUUGUCGAUACCCGAAUGGAAGUGGGAUAAGCUAGGCAUGGAUUUUAUCAUGGGAUUGCCCAGGACUCGCUCAGGCUAUGACUCGAUAUGGGUUGUAGUCGAUCGUUUGACGAAAGUAGCUCAUUUCAUCCCAGUGAAGACCACUUACACCAGUGCUAAGUUGGAAAAGAUAUACAUGACCAGGAUCGUAUGUCUGCAUGGAGUUCCGAGGACCACUGUAUCAGAUAGAGGAACCCAGUUUACCUCAAAGUUCUGGAAUCAGUUGCACAAAACUUUGGGUACCAGGCUAGAGUUCAGUACAGCCUUUCAUCCGCAGACAGAUGGACAGACCGAGAGAGUCAAUCAGAUUCUGGAAGACAUGUUGAGAGCUUGUGCGCUAGAUUACGGAUCUAGUUGGGACGACAAUUUUCCAUAUGCAGAGUUCUCUUGCACCAACAGCUAUCAAGCCAGUUUGAGGAUGGCCCCUUUUGAAGCUUUGUACGGAAGGAGGUGCAGGACACCGUUGUUGUGGGAUGAAGUUGGAGACCGUUAGUUGUUUGGACCGGAUUUGAUUAAAGAGUCUGAAGAAAAGGUUAAACUGAUUCGUGAUAGCCUCAAGGUAGCCCAGUCCAGGCAAAAGAGCUAUGCGGAUUCUCAACGCAAGGAGACAAUUUACAAAGUCGGAGACAGAGUGUAUCUUCGUGUGUCCCCACUUCGAGGAGUUAAGCAUUUUGGAGUUAAGGGAAAGUUAGCGCCACGUUUUGUGGGACCAUACAAAGUUUUGGAACGUAUGGGAGAAGUUGCUUACAAGUUGGAGUUACCCGAAGGAUUGUCAAGAGUUCACGAUGUGUUCCACCUUUCCCAGCUGAAGAAGUGCCACGCAGAGAUGGCUGAUAUUACUCUGAGAGAUACAGUGCCACUGGAAGCGAUUCAGUUGGAUAGCGAUUUGACCUACGAGGAGAAACCAGUAAAUAUUCUCGAGUUUGCCAGCUGAGUCACACGCAGCAAGGUUAUCAAGUUCUGCAAGGUUGAGUGGAGCCACCAUGCCGAAGAUGAAGCCACUUGGGAGCGAGAGGAAUACCUACGGAAGGAUCACCCUCACCUAUUUUCUAGCCAACCCGAAUCUCGAGGGCGAGAUUCAUCUUAAGGGGGUAGGUUUGUAACAUCCCAAAUUUUCAAUUUAGAAUGUUAUACAUUAGAUCAUCAUUGCAUAUCAUAUUUUAUUGCACUUUGGCUUGAUCCUAGAAAUUCUACAAAACUCAAGGACCCACGGAGAGAGUUGGGGAUUUCGUUAUUUUCAUAUUUGAGUUUUCUCAAAUUUUGAAAAGAGGAUCAUUUGAUUUUAAUUAUUUUCUCUUCAAAUAUUUCUUUUAUAAAAAUAAAAGAGAGGAAAUAAAAUGACUUCCCAAAAUAAAGAAAUAUUGGAGGUUUAAUAUUAAAAUCAAAUAAGAUUUUUAUUCGGAGUUUUAUCGCUAUUUUAUUUGAAUUAGGAAAAAUAUGUGUUUUUCAAAAUUUCAUUAUAGGCCCAAAUAAAUGUUCACUUUGUCCGCUAUAUUUUUAGAGGACGGGGAAAAUUUAUUUCAAGAUUUUUGGAGUCCGUUUAGUAUUUCUUUAUUUUGUUUUUCUGGGCGGAAUUAUUUAAAAAAAUCCCACCGACCUAGCCGGGCCGUGCCCGACUAGGACUCCAGCGCGGCCGGCCCUUUAAGAGGAGAGGGCCCGAGCCGUCGAAACCAUAGCCCCGCCCCAGCCCCGAACCCUGCUGCCUCGCCUCGCCGCCGUCGGCCGCCGCCGCCGCCGACCGCCCUCAACGCCGACCCCGCCACCGCCGCCGGACGCUGCCCCGCCGAAGUUGCUCGCCGUUGCCACCGCUGUCACGCGAACCGAGGUAGCCGUCGGUUUUAUCCUAAAAACCGUUUGGUUUUAUUCGUAAAACCUAGAUGCCCUUUUUUAGAUCGUUUUUUUGGUGUAGUUAUUUAGUGAACGCCCGUUCGUUCGUUCGUUUUAACGAACAGUGUUCACCCAUUAGCCGCAGACAACGAACAUUCAUUCGUUAGCCUGUUCGUCAGUUUUUCUUUUUCCAGGGAUUUUCAGUGAUUAUUUUCGAUCGCGAUUUCUGCCCUGAUUUUCGUUUUAGUUUAUCUUUUCGCUCGUUUAUCGGAAUCAAGCGAUUCAAGCGCCUAGAGUUUCGUCUUGAAGCCCUCUUUCUGUUUAACCAACUUAAACAAGUUUUUGCUACUGUAAAAUUUGACUUAAGUCCAGAUUAGUAAACGAAGCUUGUUUCUUUCACAAUUUGAGUUUCGUUGUUUCGUUUGAGUUGAUUCUUUUUGCAAACCGGAGUUCUUAAGUUGAAAUUUCUGGUUAGAUCUCUUAUUUGAGUUUUACCUAUUCUUGUAGUUGAGUGCUUAUUGUAUGCUUGUUUGUUUGCGAUAGAGUACCCGGAGUGCGAAGCGUGCUACUACGAGUCUCUAGGUUUCAUGGAUCAUCAGCAAGGCAAGUAACACUUUGAUCAUACCUCUUUACUACCCAGUUUUAUUGCAUUAGAUCAAUCCUCAAACAAUUGCAUGGUUAGGAUCUGAUUAACAUGUCGGUUUUUGGAAGUAGAUGAGGUAGUACCUAUUGUCCUGUUUAUUAUCAAACCUUUGGGAGUUACUUCUACGUUGCUUAUAUUGCUAUGCUAUGCUUGUAGGCGUGGAUUGGGUGAGUGUAUCCAUGACAGAUGUGAGUAUUGUUAGUUAAUGGUUAACUUAAGGUGGCUACUUUAAUACACAUCUGGGUGGAUUGAGGCACCUGGGGAACCCAGUGUUGCCUGUAUUUUUGGAAAUCCCGGGGUACCGUGUGAUUCUCCUAUGGACCGCCACCCAGGCUCAAAGGGAUCAUAAGAUUAUUCAUGCUAGAAACUUCCGUGUGCAGCCACAAGCUAUUAUGGGCUCUAGCAUAGUUGAGUAUGUUGCAAGACCUCUUUCAAUGGUGGGCUAGCAGAUGUAGGGGAUAGUAGGUGUAACUGUCCAUCCAGAGUAAAGAGUUAUUGUUUUAGAAAGACUGUGUCUCGUUUCUUUGACCAUGGAUGUAUUCGAGUCUUGUGGGGAAAAGUGCGCAAACCUCUGCAGAGGUAUAAACUAAUCAUGGUUAGCCGUGUCCCCAGUUAUGGACGUUUUGAGUAUCUAGUUCUUGGAUUAUCAUGUGGAUCUCAUCACUCUUAGUAUAAUUUGAUUGGGUUUAAUGAUGAUGCUUAAUUGGGAUUGAGUUGGGUGAACCUUCCCAAUGUUUAACAACCACCAUGAUAGUUAAAUAAAAUUUAUUCCUUUGUUGUAGGAAAAAAUUGGCUUUAUGCAAAACUGUAACCAUAGAGCUUUCCACCAGCCAUAUAUGCAUGUAGUGAUAGCAUUAUUCUGUUCAUUACUCUCUAUGUGUUACAUUGCCAGCAUAUUCCAUGUGCUGACCCGUUUCGGGCUGCAACGUUCAUGUUGCAGACUUUUCAGACGACGAGUAAGGUGCCUUAGGUUGUGAUCUUUCGCUCAGUGAUGACGUUGGAGUUGAUGGACUCACUUUAUCUUCCAAGCCUUUCGCUGUUAUCGUAUUUAGAUGGCCUUAAGCCAUAUUUAUUGUAAUAAGUUCUCUUUUGAGACAUUCAAUGUAAUAAGUGUGUGAUUGCUACUCUGUUAUAAAUCCUUCAAGUACUGUGCGUGUCAGCAUUACCGAUCCAGGGAUGACACUGAUGCACAGAGAUCAGACUGUUUGAGGUCUGGUCGCUACAAGAAUGCUACCUUUCCAAAUCUAGUGAUGAUGAAUCAGGUGAUGAAUUUGGCCCCAGCUAUGUCAAACUUGCUUCCCUUGCCACUAAACAACAAAGAGCUCUUGAAAAAGUUCAAAACAUGCUAGAUGAAAGCGAUGAUAUGUUGGGUGAGCAAUUGGAUCAAAAUAAGGCUUUGACUGAUAGUCUUCAAAAACUUCAGUCAAAGUUUGACAACCUUCAAAAUCAUCAUAACUCUCUCUUAACUGAUCAUGAGAAGCUUUCUUAUGAAUUUCUUCAGAAAAAGCAAGAUCUUGAGACGUUAAAAGUGAGUUAUGAAGAUCUUUAGAAGGAAAAUGAUUCAUUGCUCACUCAACAGAUCAGUUCCGCUCAGGAAGAAUUUAUUCCACCAUGUCUUAAACGCAUUGAGCGUGAAUCUGCUAAUUCAUCACCUGAAUGUUCAAAUGCUUCUAUUGCUGCAAAUUCUUCAACUAUCUCUGUGGUUACAAAUUCCUCAUCUAAGGAUACCACAUGUAUCACUGACGAUAAUGCAGGGCUGAAGGAAUUGUAUGUGACAGGCAUUUACAAAAGCCUCAAAGGGCAUCAUACUCUUUGUGAUGUGCUCAAAAAGCAGAUCUUGAACAGGAACCCUAGGAAAGAGGGUAUUGCCUUUGAGAGGAAACUCAAUGCUGAUGGGACCUACUGGAAACCUGAGCAGUAUAUGGGUUCAUCAUUCUUCACUGAUGAAGUAUAUGGGUUCGUAAGUUGCACUAAUUCAUCUGCAGGAUGAUCAACCCAAAGCUACUAAGCGGGUCCUCGACAGUGGAUGUACAAAUCACAUGACUGGUGACAGAAGCUUGCUGAUGGACGCUGAUUUGUCACCAUCUCAUCUGAAGCAUAUCACCUACGCUGACAAAGGCAAAAGCAAGGUAUUGGGUCUAGGUAAGGUUGCAAUCUCAAAGGAUAAACACAUGGACAAAGUCAUGCUUGUUGAGUCCCUAGGAUUCACUCUUAUGUCAGUCUCAAUGCUUUGUGAUCUUGAUAUGGUUGUUGUCUUCGGCAAAUUUCAUUGCCUUGUGCUAAUGGGAUCUGACAACUCCAAAGUCUUCGAAGGCUUUAGGAAAGGAGACUUGUAUAUUGUUGAUUUCUCUGCAGGACCACAGCCUGCUACAUGCCUACUCGCAAAAGCUUCAGAAUGCUGGUUAUGGCAUCGACGACUUGGUCAUGCUGGGAUGAGGAACUUGCAUACACUCACGAAGAAGAAGCACGUCAUUGGCAUCGAGGGUGUCAAAUUCCUCAAAGAUCAUCUUUGUGGGGCUUGUGAGGCUGGAAAGAUCACCAGAGCCAAGCAUCCCGCGAAGACUAUCAUGACCACUUCUUGUCCCUUUGAAUGACUUCACAUGGAUUUAUUUGGCCCUACUCAUUAUGCCACGUUCACUAGUUCUGCAUCAUUAUAUGGCUUUGUCAUAGUUGAUGACUAUUUCGUUACACAUGGGUGCAUAUCAUCACCUACAAAAAUGAAGUGCAGGAAGUCUUCAGACGAUUUUCCUCAAGGGCUUCCUCAAACUUCGGUGUGAAGAUCAAGCAUAUCAGGAGUGAUAAUGGAACCGAGUUCAAGAACACUGGCCUUGAUGAAUAUCUCUAUAUGCUUGGUAUUACUCACGAAUUGUCUGCUCGUUAUACUCCUCAGCAAAAUGGCAUCGUGGAGCGCAAGAACAGGACUCUUUUUGAGUUGGCUUGCACUAUGCUUGAUGAAUACAAGACAGCUGAGCGCUUUUGGCCUGAAGCAAUUGAUACCACGUGCCACAUCAUCAACAGGGUAUAUCUUCACAAAUUCUUCAAAAAGACCUCAUAUGAACUCCUCACUGACAAGAAACCCAAUGUAAGUUAUUUCAAAGUCUUCGAUGCUAAAUGCUGGAUUAGAGAUCCUCACCAUCACUCUAAAUUUGCACCGAAAGCACAUGAGGGUUUUAUGCUUGGUUACGGAAAGGACUCGCACACCUACAGAGUCUUCAACAUCAACCUUCGCAAGGUUGUUGAAACUGUAGAUGUGCGGUUCGAUGAAACUAAUGGCUCACAAAGAGAGAACCUACCUCCUAUGCUAGAUGAAAUGUCACCUGAGGAAUCCAUCAAGUUCAAAACUACUGAGGAUGUCAUCCGUACCGAAUAAAUUGCUGAAGAAGUCAUUCCUGACCUUGAAGAAAAUCAUGCUGGUGCUGCUGAAGAAACUGGUCCUGAAGAAACUGCUGGGCCUAAGCAAAGUCGUCAACCCACACAUCCUCGCAUUGCAAAUGAAGUGCAAGUCGAGAAGAUCAUCGAUGCCAUUCGUGCACCUGGUCCCCUCACGUGCUCAAAAGCUUCACAUUUAUCUAACUUUUGUGGGCAUUUUGCAUUUCUCUCUAUCACAGAGCCCACCAAAGUAGAUGAAGCAUUCAUGGAAUCCGAGUGGAUUCAAGCCAUGCAAGAUGAAUUGCAUCAAUUUGAGAUCAACAAUGUGUGGGAGCUUGUCAAGCGACCAGACCCACGCAAGCACAACAUCAUUGGUACCAAAUGGAUCUACCACAACAAACAAGACGAAAAUGGCCUUGUGGUGAGGAAUAAGGCUCGUCUUGUAGCUCAAGGCUACACACAUGUUGAAGGAAUUGAUUUCGAUGAAACUUUUGCACCUGUUUCUAGACUUGAGGCUAUUCGCAUAUUGCUUGCUUAUGCUCAUCAUAAUAUCAUCUUACAACAACUGGAUCUGAAAAGUGCAUUCAUCAAUGGUAAGCUUGAGGAAGAAGUAUAUGUUGCUCAACCACCAGGUUUUCAGGAUCCAAAAUUUCCAGAUCACGUCUACAGACUCAACAAGGCCCUCUAUGGCCUCAAGCAAGCACCUCGGGUGUGGUAUGACACACUGAAGGAAUUCCUCAUGAAGAAAGGCUUCAAACCCGGUUCACUUGACCCAACUCUUUUCACCAAAUCAUAUGGUGAUGAAUUAUUCGUGUGCCAAAUAUAUGUUGAUGAUAUUAUCUUUGGCUGUACUAACCAACAUUACAGUGAUGAAUUUUCUUAUAUGAUGAGUGAAGAAUAUCAAAUGUCUAUGAUGGGAGAAUUGAAAUUCUUCUUAGGUCUUCAGAUUCGUCAACAAUACAAUGGCAUAUUCAUAUCUCAGGAGAAAUACCUCAAGGAUGUGUUGAGGAAAUUCGGCAUGCAAGAUUGCAAAUGCGUCAAAAUUCCUAUGCCCACAAAUGGCCAUCUAUGCACUAAUGAAAAUGGUAAAGAUUUCGAUCAAAAGGUAUACCACUCCAUGAUUGGCUCCUUAUUGUACCUAUGUGCAUCUAGGCCGGAUAUUAUGCUUAGUGUUCGCAUGUGUGCCCAAUUUCAAGCUACACCGAAGGAAUUACACCAUAAGGCUGUGAAGCAUAUUCUUCGAUAUCUAGCUCACACACCAACACUUGGAUUAUGGUAUGCCAAGGGCUCUUCCUUUGAUCUCAUUGGAUAUUCAGACUCUCACUAUGCUGGCGAUCGGGUGGACCGCAAUUCAACGUCAGGCACAUGUCAUUUCUCGGACGAUCCUUGGUAUGUUGGUCCUCGAAGAAGAAGAACUGCGUAUCACUCUCCAUUGUAGAAGCUGAGUACAUUGCUGCUGGAUCUUGUUGUGCUCAAUUACUAUGGAUGAAGCAAACACUCAAGGACUACGACAUCAACGUGAAGAAUGUGCCUGUCUUCUGCGACAAUGAGAGUGCUAUCAAGAUUGCUCACAACCCAGUUCAGCACUCGAAGACAUAGCACAUCCAAAUUCGUCAUCAUUUUCUUUGUGAUCAUGUGUUGAAGGGCGACAUCUCCAUCGACCACGCAAGUACUAAAGACCAGCUGGCCGAUAUCUUCACUAAGCCCUUGGAUGAGAAGAGAUUUAGCAAGUUGCGGUGUGAGCUAAAUAUCCUAGAAUCUUCGAAUAUUCUUUGAAAAGGACACACAUCCUAACACUUAUGAUGACUUGAUGACUUAUGUGCAACACACGAAGUAACAUUUUUCUUCAAUCAAUGAAGACUAACCCUCUAAGUGUGAAGAAAUUAAUGAAGGAAUUGAUUCUCAGAACCCUACGAGAAUUGUACGCGGUGUCUGAAAUCAGUUUUCUUAUAUGGUGGGUUACGCCACCAACCAAAGUUGAAAAUCUUCAAUUUGAGUUUGUCUUCAUUUUUGAAAUUCCUCAGUUUUUUAAAUUCUUUAACUUUGCAUUGUCUUCACUCUUUCCGUCGUUGUUCUUCAUUUGACUAUAUAUAUAGGAGUAGGAUAUUCUACAAUAGCUUGCCACAGAACUAGUUAAGGUUUUCAACGGUGUAAAACUUCUUAAAAAUCAUGAAAAAAUAUAUUGAACCAACACACCUAUAAUAUAACAUGAUCCAACGGAGGGAUUAAAAAAAUGUGACUGCAUGUGUCCUGGACAAAAAUAACAAAUGUUUCAAUAUAUAUUGAUCCUGCAGUGAGCUCAAAUGCUUGUUUUUUCACUGAGGACACAUAAAUGCAUAUUUUCACAAUCACACCGUUGGAUCAUCUUAUUAUAUUAGAGUGAGGCUCCCCUAUUUAUUUCAUAUUUUUUACUUACUUUUAAACCAUUAAAUGUUUAGCAAGC